This 75834-nucleotide long non-coding RNA is filed under the name Marmota monax (woodchuck). The stretch from base 70151 to 70219 matches the Rfam family "tRNA". The record is from RNAcentral. Lineage: Eukaryota; Metazoa; Chordata; Mammalia; Rodentia; Sciuridae.
GAAGAAGUACAAAGUGAAGUGUCCUCCCCUACCUGUGAGUUUAUUAACUAAAAGAACACAUACCUCCGUUACCAUGACUGUAUUCUAAUUAGUAUGUCUUUAACCUGUGUACUAGCUAACUGAGAUAAAGUCCAGGUUAGAAGUAACACAGGGCUCCUACCUACCAAGGGCAUAUCCAAGGAAACCAGAUAGUGUCUGCAUAGUUGGCUCCCUAGCUCAGAGGGAGGAGGCUGGGCAUCCUAGGUCUGGGAAGCAGGGAAACUUGUGAAGGACAAUGCUAUGGCAGCCAGGCAUCCUGUGCUUUUGCACAGGAGUUUCCCAGUCACCAGGUAUUACCUAGCAGCCAGGAAUUCUGUAUCUUUGCACAGAAACUUCCUAGUCACCAAGCAUGUCACAAUCACAAAGUUUGUAGACCCCAAUUAUAAGCACAGAAUUCCUACAGGUCUUUUUGUGUUCCUCUUACUUGGAGUUCAUUGAGCUUCUUGGAUAUUUAUAUUGAUAUCUUUUAUUUACUUUGGAAAGUUUUCAACCUUUAUUGCUUUAAAAAUUCUCUAUGACCCUUUGUCUCUUCUCCUACUGCUCACACAAUGCCUAUGGUAUUCUGCUUUAAAGUGUCUCACAAGUUCCUUAGGCUUUGUUCACUUUUUUAUUUUUAUUUUUUCUGUUCCUCAUGCACAAUAAUUUCUAUUGCCCUAACUUCAAGUUUGCUAAUUAUUUCUUUUACCUUCUGAAAUUGGCCUUUGAAUUCUUUUUUUUUUCAUUUCAGUUAUUAAACUUGCCAGCUCUUGAAUUUCUUGUACUUAUUGAUAUUCUUAUUUUUCUCUAUCACAUUGAUUGCUUAACUUCCUGCACAUAAUUAAUUGAGCAUCUUUAGAAUAGUUGUUUAAAAUUUAUUUGUUUAGUAGAUCUAUCAUGAGGUCUUUCUCAGGGGCUAUGCUUUCCUCUUUUUUUUAAUGUGAUAUUUUUUGAAAAACUGUACACGGAAUCUCUUUUCGUUUUCAUAAUAUGCACCCUACCAUGUGUAUAGUGAUUUCUCACUGCUGUUUAGAUUUUCAUUUUCCUGAUAAUUUGUGUUGUUGCACACCUUUUUAUAUACUUAUUAGCCAUUUGUACAUCUUCUCUAUAGACGUAUCUAUUCAAAUUCUUUGCUUGUGUUUUAAAUCAUAUCAUCUGGCAUUUGUUUGUUUGUUUAUUUGACUAUUAGAGAAUAUGAAGUCCUUAUAUAUUUUGGACAUUGACCUUUUGUCAGAUACAUGGUUUACAUGUACAUUCUUCCUUUCCAGGCUUUGCUUUUUCAUUUUGCUGAUUGUUUCCUUUGCUUUGCCAAAGCUUUUCACUUUGGUAUAUCCCCAUCUAGUUAUUUUUGCUUUUGUUGUCUGUACUUUCAGAGCCAUUUCCAAGUCUAAUUAACCUAUUUCCUAUGAUUUAUUCAAGUUUUAUGAUUUUUGGUUUUAAAUUAUGUCUUCGAUUCAUUUUGAAUUAAUUUUUGUUAGUUGCACACGAUAAGGUUCUACAUCAGGUAGUGUUGUCAUGCACUAGUUGACUGUAUAUGCAUGAGUUUCUUUUUUUAUAAGCACUCGAUUCUGCUUCAUUGGUUUAUGUGUCUGUUUUUAUACGAGUAUCAUAUUGUACUGAUUACUGUAGCAUUUGUAUGACAGUUUGUAAUUAGAAAAUGUGGGGGCUGGGGAUGUGGCUCAAGCGGUAAAACGCUCGCCUGGCAUGUGCAGGGCAGUGGGUUCAAUCCUCAGCACCACAUAAAAUAAAAUAAAGAUGUUGUGUCCACCAAAAACUACAAAAUAAAUAUUAAAAAUUCUCUCUCUCUCUCUCUCUCUCUCUCCUCUCUCUCUCUUAAAAAAAAAAAAGAAAAUGUGAUACUUUCAGGUUUGUUCUUAUUUUUCAAUACUGAAUUAUUUAUUUCAGGACUUUUGUAGUGCCAUAUAAAUUUUAGAAUUUUUUUUCUAUUUCUGUGAAAAAAAUGUCAUUGAAAUUUCAAAAAGGGUUAUAUUGAAUUUAUAGAUAGCUUUGGGUUGUAUGGAUAUUUUAACAAUAUUAAUUUUUCUAGCCCAUGAACUUGAGGUAUUAUUCCAUUUGUUUAUGUCUGUUUAAAUUUUUUUCAUCAGUCUUAGUUUCCAGUAUACAGAUCAUUCACCUCAUUGGUUAGAUUUUUCAUAAGUAUUUUAUUAUUUUUGACAUUAUAGUAAAUGGAAUUGUUUUCUUUCUUUUUAGAUAUUUAAUUGUUAGUGUAUAGAAAGAUGACUGAUUUUUGGACUUUGUACAUCACUGCCUCAGCAUCUUAUCAACCUAGCUGGACCAGUAAUGUUAAAUGGAAAAUGGAAAAUUAAUGACUUGUUCCCCAAAGCAAAGCAAGAGAAUGUAUUUCCUAUGCUGGGAAAUUUACCCAGAAGAUUCUCUUGGGACUCUGACAUUUAAAAAUAAGCAAAUGCUUUAGCACUAAUCCUAUGUCACAAAAUACCCUCCUCAGCAGCUGCAUGCAUGUUAAACUUGCAGCUAUAGGGAAUAUUUGCAAAAAAAAUGAAAAGAGCUCAUUAUUAUUUUUAGCUGAGAAAUGACUAUCAUCAGGGAGAUAAAUCAUUCCUCAGUGAAGGAAACCUCAAUUACACUUCAUAGAUUUAUAUGUCAUUUAGAUAUAGGGCAGAUAAACCUGCUGGGAUAUCUGGAGAAAUGAUCCUUGGUUUGAGGAAGUUUUGUUGCUCCCAAAGAAAGCUUUGAAAUACAUAGUGCUAACCAGACUGUGAAAGUUCCUUGCAGAAUUGUUUUGUCAAAUUGAAGAAAUGUUUAUCAUAGAGGUAUAAAAUUGGAGAUACCUUAAAUUAGCUAAAUAACUCAUAUGCUUAAAAAUUACUUUAAUGGGAAUAUAAGACAUACAAAAUCAGAUUUUGACAUGAGAUGGAAUCAAAAUUAUAGUGGUUGAGAUAAACAUAAGAAAAUAAACCAAUUUAUUCUGAAAAGGAAGUGUGCAUAAUACUUAAGCAAUAUAAGAGUAGAUAGCUCUAGGUUCAAUGUUUGGAUUACAAGACCUUCCAUAGAAGGUUAGUGAAGAUUUUGCCUCCUAAUGCCUCUAUCUCUACAGAGUUACCUUCUGGGUAGAGGUAACUAUCUUGUUAUCAAGAUCAAGGAACUUCAUCACUGGAAACAAAUUCACUGAACUCUGAAAUUCUUCCCUUUUGAAACUUAUUAAUAUAAUUGUUCUUGAGAGAUUGAGGUUAAUUUGGAGAAAAGGGACAUGUGUGAUCUGCAUAGGAGAUUUCCUAUGAGGUAGGGGAAUUGGCCUUAUUGAUAAUUUCAACAUUAGGCCAAGAGGAUUGUGGGGUAGCUGGAUGUGAAAUAGUGUGUAACUGAAUGGGCAGAAGUACUCUAGGAAUAGCUGAGAGUCAUAUAUACAAAUGAGUAGUGACAAUGAAUACUGAAGCAUGGGAUUCUUUCUUGUCCAGUAGAGGAAUCUGGGUCUGUCAGGUGUGAUUGCAAUGGUGAAAAAGGAAAGAACAAAUUUUAUGGAAUGAGUUUUUAAUAGUUCUGGGGUAGGAAGAUGUCCGUUAGAGAAGGAGACAGGGAGGGAUAUAACUCCAAAAUCUGCUUUCCCAAAUAGACUGGAGGAAGGUGAGGUUUGAAGAGAGGUGUUUUGGAGACUGUGUAUGUGUGUGUGUGUGGAGAGAGAGAGAGAGAGGGAGAGAGAGAGAGAGAGAGAGAGAGAGAGAGAGAGAGAGAGAAAACCUAUCUAUUUGCUGCAAAAGUGAAAAGCAGGUUACUCACUCGAGACAGAGAUUCAACCAAGAGAUUUUAUUGGGGAGCUGCUGCCCGAAGGGUAAGAAAAGAAAAGGAAGAGAGCAGAAAAAGGGAGAAAGAGAGCAGAGAGUGUGAACUUGCAAGCUUCAGCUUAAGAAGGGUUCUGUAGGAGACAGGGCGUGUGCUGAUUGGCAGCGUGACUCAGGAACUGGAGAGCAGACACUGUGUCUCCAGGGAUUGAUUUAGAAAAUUUUUGACUUUGGUGCCCUUUGGCAUGGUGCCCUUAGGAGAGGAAGGGGAGGGGUAAGAGAUAAUGGUGAUGUUCUUCUCACGAGAUGGAAACUUAACUUCAGCAGGGAGAAACUCAAUGGGGGAAAUAAAACCAAAAGGCAAGGUCUCCCACAUACCCAACAAAAAGUAUUUAUUGGGUCCCAAAUGAUGUUACAGGGAUGUUCUUAAUGGCUAAUGAGACAGGGCUGAAUAACAGAAGACAUGAUGAUCCUUUGCACAUGUGUUCACACUAAAUGCUGCUUUAUAAUUCACUUUCAAUGUCUGACAUACAUAACAUCACAUUUUAUGAAUGAUGAGACCAUCCCAAGUAAAGGUUAAUGGCAAGGAAGAAAGGAGGGGAAUAAAACUGGAAUCUCCUAAUCAAAAUUCAGUGUUCUAAUUUAAUUUCCAAAAUUAUACAGAUCUAAUAAGGUUAUUGGAGUUUUUGAUCCCACAAAGGGUACCCUGUUAUAAUUAGAAUAGAUUCCAAAAUGUAUAAAAAUGAUUAGCACGCUCUGGUCUCUGGCAAACACUCUAAGUUCUAACACUCUAACACUUUGCCAUCUCUCCCUCCUUUCACUGACCUUCAUUAAUUCCUCAAACAUAGAGUCCUUAAGUAUACUAUACUCCAUGAUAAUACUUGGCACACUAUCCAUUUUAUUAUUAACUAGUAGAAAUUAUUUAAUAACUGGCUUCUGAUCUGGACUCUAAGCCCUGUGUUGAUAAUUCUCCUUCUAUAUUGCUUAUUUGGUCUAUUCUCAAUGCUUUGCCCAGUGUCUGGCACAUACAAGUGCUUAUUCCAUGUCUUUUAGUUCACUCCAAAUAAGAAAAUUAUCUUUCUUUGACUUUGUGGGAAAUUAUCUUGCUAUGACCUUGUUCCUAUGCUUUUUGUCUGAUAUUGGGUAGAUUAUAUCCUCCUUCUUUGCUCAGCCUGUGUAACUUUGGCCCAUUCUUACAAAUCCAAUUUAAGACUCUCUCAGACAAUUGUUUCUGCCUCUUCUGAUCUUUUCACACAUUUACUGUGAUAAUGAAGCAGUCAACAUUUGAUUACAUUCAUUCUUUCUUUUUAUAAAACAGUGUAUAUCUCAUGGAUUUUUCUUUCUAUACAAUAUUUUAAAAGAAAUUCUGCAAGUCUUUUCCCCCAUUAUUAUUAUUAUUAUUUUUAGAGCUGUGAACCUUCUGGGCAUCUUCAAGGUGAUGAAUAACAACUAGCUGACAUUGAUUUGGAAGAUGCUCCAGAAUAGAGAGCAGUUAGGAGACAAAGGUUUCUGAUAGAGUACAGGUCUGGAGCUGAUCAAAGAGAGGGCAUAGGGGAGACAGACUUAUUAUUAUUUUUUUAGGAGGCUGAAUGUCAGAGAUUGUAGUGAACAUUUCAAAGCAUAUCAGAGAAAAUAACAGGGUAGAUAUUUGUCUCUCAGGAUGCAUCCAUGAGAAAUGUACUGAAAAAGUCCACUUGAAAACUAACAGGAAAGUCAAGGUUAAUAGGAGAAACAUUGAAUGCCCAACAAUAUCCACAGAGGUUUUAAUUUAACAUUAUAUGAAAAAGCUACACAGAAAGUGAAGUAAAUACAUUGGAAUUUAAAUCACUUACCAUAAUCUGUGUAUUGGGCCCUUUUAUUAAAAUAUUUUUAUAAUUUUCAAACAUUGAAUUUAAUCAACUCAACAAUACAAAAGUUGGCAAUCUGACAGAAAGAUAAUAACUGAAUAGACUUUCGUUUUCAACAUGAAUAGAACUUGUGGACUGAGGAAAACUAUUUUCCCCCUAUUCAUUCCAUGUCAUAAAUCUAUAGAAUUGAAUAACCUUGUUUUGAAAAUCCUAUUCAGACAGGGAACAGGGGUCUCUUAAUCUCAAAAUCCUAUGUACCAACUUGUAUUGCACUGAUAGGUUUGCUCUUUUUCUUAUUGAACUGUAAAUUCCUAGGGUCCAGAGAUUUUCUUUUUUUUUCAUGCCCCUAAGUGUCUGGUUUAUGCAAGGCACUUUUUAAAAGUAAAAGGUUAAAGAAGAUGUAGCAGAUGAUGUUGUUGUGAGCAAAAAUAGUUUCAAAAUUAUAUUUGGCAAAAUAUGGAAAACUUUCCUUCAACCACAAAGCAGGAAAAUGAUUUUUAAAACAGACUUGACCUAUUUAGGGACAAAGAUGCUGAAACCCCUUUUUCCAGAAUCUGCAUUCUAGAGUUUCUGAACUUCCCUUGUUUAUUUCAGCUUGGGAUAAGGCACAAUAAGGCUGCUGUUAUAGAAUCAAUAUGAUGUCUGAAAUAAGAGUAGUGAACAAAAUAUUAAUAAUAGAUACAUGAAUUAGUAUAUCCAAUAUGCCAAGUCAGACUAGUUGAAACACAGGGACCUUUUUUUUUAUCCCCACUGGGACUUGAACCCAGGGCCUUAUGUAUAUUACGCAAGUACUCUACCAUUGGGCUACAUUCCCAGUCCCAGGGACAUAAGUUUUGACAAGAGGGCAAAGAAGUAAUUAUGACCUUUGUUUGUUCUCAAAGAGGGAAAUGUUUGUGACCACAAGGUUAGAAAACAGGAAUAGAGGUAGAAAAGCCCAAACUACACAGUUUACAGUUGGAAGUGGACUCACCAGUUAGUUUCAUCCAGUGGUGUGACUAAGGAAACUGCAGUGAUACGGGAAUUACAGAAAUGAGAAAAAUGAAUGAUAAUUCUCUCAGAGAAAUGUCCCUGUAGAAGUAUAAGAAUAGAUCGUAUCUCCCUAAGAGUUACUUAGCUUGUUAUUUUGACAUCUUUAUACCUGUUUAUGAGCUACUACUAGACCAGGUACAUAAAGCAAUUAAAAUAAGUUUUGAGGCUGGACAGAAGCAAGGGACACGUGGAUAUGGUCAAGCUUGGCCUCUUCAUAGUUUUAUUUUUUUUUUCCCUCUCAGAUCUCAACUCCAAACAAAAAUUUACACUUUUUGAAUUUGAUUCUUUUAUAAUGUAGAUGACUCCAUGGAUCAAUUAUACUGUACUUAUAAAAUAUAUAUUCUCAAAAAUAUUGGAUGGGCUUGUGAAACCCUGGGAAUUUAGAAUGGGUAUAGAGCAAAGACUUCCUUUACUUCUUCACUGAUGCUGGUUCAUGUGGUCAGAAUUUUAUAAAUGGUACCACAAAUGUAUCUUUGCCCAGUCCUAGAACCUGUGAAGAAAAUGAGUUAUUAUGCUUGUGGUUAUAUUAUUGUACAUGACAAAAGAGAAUUCCUAGAUGUGAUAAGGUUACUGUUAAUCAACUGCCCCUUACACUGAGAAUAUUGUGCUGGAUUAUUCAUGUGGAUCUGGUGCAAUCACAAGAGGCAUUAUAAAUAAAGCUCCUUCUCCUGCCAGUAGACAUAGCAGGAAUAAAAAAGGGGAGGUCAGAGAAAUUUGAAGCAUGAAAAAGACACUGUUGAUGAGUUGAAGAUGUGAUCACAAGAUGGAAUGCCAGCAGCUUUGAGAGACAGCAGACACUGACACAGACUUACAGGUGCAAAGGAACUAGAUUGUGACAGUCACCAAAGGAGCUCAGAUGCAGAUUCUUCCUGUAAACCUCCAGAUAAAUAAGCCUAAUAAGCCAGUGUCUGGGUUUCAGUAUUGUAAGCUCCUGCACUGAGAACUCAGUCCAGUCUACCUAGACUUCUGACCAACAGAACUGUUAGAUAAUUAAUGGGUGCUAUUUUAAGAUAAUAGAUUUAAAGUAAUUCAUUAUACAUCAAUAGAAAACUAAUAAAGCUACACACUGACAUGUUUAUGGAUGAAAUUAUUCUAAUUUGUGUCAAAUUAAUCCAGUGUAGAAGCAUGAAAAUGGGGGUAAGCAAAACUAUAGUUAAAUAUAUUUAAAAUAAUCUGUAGUUAAAAUAUUAUAAAAAGCUAGAAUGUGUGCUUGAAACAGUUUUACAGAGGAACUAGUAAAAAAUGAGUUCUACAACUCUUUGAUAGUCUACAUCCACCUUGAGACUUUAAAAGGGUAAAUCAAGAAAAUUUGUGUCAAUCUAAGAUGAAUUUUUGCCCCUGUGCUCAAGUGGAGGGAUGGUAUGGCAGGUGUUCCCUCAUUCAUUUCAAGACUAGAGAAUCUUUUUUUCAACAAAACUGUUUGGAACAGCAAAGUUUCUCAACAAUUGAGUGACAUCAUGACAUGAUGUCACAGACAACUAAAGUACAUGUGAAAGUAAUCUGUGUUGGGGAUAGGGAAAGGGGGAGUGGGGAGUUGCAUUUUGAAUAGACUCCCACCAUAAGAGGAGCAGUGAAAUAUUUCCAUGGACUAGAGAUAGUGUAACAUGUAGAGUGAAUGGAUGAGUUCUUUGUCUCCUAAAUUUGAGGAAUGAAAUCUAUGGAUACAAGGAUGAGAGCAUAUUAACAGGAUUUACAGAAAGAAAUAAGAGCUCCUGAAGAGGGAGUGUCCCUAAGGAGAGAUGUCCACAGGUGUCUGUUGUCUAGGGGUUUUUAUGUUCUUUAUCUGUCCCUAUAGACUGGUGGUGACUAUGUUAAUGGGGGAUGCUAGCAUGGACCAAUUAAACUCUCUAAGUUCUGAGUUUAAUAAGCCAGUCAGAAGUUUAUAAUAUCCCUUAUUUAUAUAAUUAAGAGAACAGGUCUAAAGUUGGGCAAAGUGGCACACACCUAUAAUCCUAGCGGCUCUGGAAGCUAAGAUGGGAGGAGAGCAAGUUCAAAGCCAGCCUCAGAAAAAAUGAGGUGCUAAGGAACACAGUGAGACUCUGUCUCUAAAUAAAAUACAAAAUAGGGCUGGGGAUGUGGCUCAGUGGUUGAGUGCCCCUGUGUUGAAUUCCCAGUAAGAAUGGAUCUAAUCUUGUGGUUUGGCAUAUCUGUGAAGGCAAGGAAGUGCUUCAGGAGUUGAUUUGGUGGACAGUCUUUGCUAGGGGUAGGCAUGGGGUAACUAAGGAAAAGCUACUGUAGUUGAAGCUGUUAGGAACAAUAAUAGGUGCUAAGGAACCAUUGCAGAUGAAGCUCUUGGGGGCACCAAGUAACAGAAUGUUCUACAGACCAUCUCUUUCUAGAAUGGCAUGUUAUUCUCCUCCCCUCCUUCCCUUCCGCAAGGCCUUAUCCUAUCUGCCUAUGGGAGGUCUACCUUUCUGCCUCAUUAGCUCAAUAGAUUGCAUGCAAAGAAAUCAGGUGUGACAUUGUCUUAGAUCAUAUUUGUAGUUUUUUUACGGAAGGUAAUGAUGGUGCACUCUGAACUUUUUUGGAGGGAACUAAGUGACCUCUGGGAAAGAAGGCAGUGGUGACAUUCUUUGAGUGACCUACAGGAACACCCCCAUGAGGAAAGUCAUGAUAUUGAAAGAUUUUACCUUGUGGUAAGAUUUCCCUGUCCCUGAUCAUUUUUCAUUUUUUAACAAUUCCUAGAGGGAUCAGAAACCUUUGUAAGUAUGUGGGUGUGAGGGAAACAGCAGAAAAGAUGAGCAAGAAAGAAUGUAGUUUUUCUCUGUUCAUGGCCCUGCUUCAGCUGGGAAUAAGGGAGUUCAUUUAAGACAAAACAAGUUCGGUAUGUGAUUAUUACACAGAGUUUUACUUUCUGAUUGGAAGAUGGAGACUGUCUCUUAUAGUGAUGGUAAUAUUGUCAAAAUAGAAUAUGAUCACAUCUGUAGACAGCCUGUUCAUUCCCUUACUUAUUGCUUCCCAGAAUAAAUUGAUGAUGUUGGAGAUGGUUCAUUACAUGGGACUCGGGGGGCCGAAGGUGGAGCAGUACUUACCAUCCAUGCCCUCCUGGAGUCUCUGAACUGUAAAAUGUUAUGAUACACAAAUACAGGAAGUGAUGAAGUGGAGAGCCAGCACUGGCAGUGAAGAGCUGAGACUUUGUUCCUGGAGCAUAAAACAUACACAACUUUCUUUGCAUUUCUCCAUCCCAUCAGUUCCUGCUUUAUUCUCACCUGGGGUACUAAAAUAAUCUUGAAGUUGGUGUCCUUUCCCCAGGACAUCUACUGUCUCUCAAUCUCUUUCGCAUACUGCUCCAAAUGAUAUUUAUAAAACUGAAUUUUGUUCAUAUCAAUUCUCUUAUUAAAAUCUCUCACUGGUUCUUUACAACCCAUGGGAUUAAAUCCAAUCAUGAAGAUAAAUACAUCCUUCUAGAUCUGUUAUCUUCCUCCCUUUUUGGUUUCCAUUUCAUAUGAUCUAGAUAGUCUAAUAAGUCAUUGGAUAUUUAGAGACUAUUUCAAACUCAUAAUAAAAGUGACAAAAGAGCUUCCAAAGUACACAUUUCCAAAGUUUUAGAAUUUUUUGUGUAUCAGUCAAAUGAAUUUUUAUUACUAGGUACACUGUGCUGUGAAUUCUUGAAGAUAAAAGUUAUGUUGUAUCCUAUUCCCUGCUAUAUAUCUAAGCACAAAUGCAUAUUUUACAGAAAGAAAAAGAGAAAGCGAGCUCGUUAAUGUAAAACUACAUUAAUAGUGCAUAUAGAACAACUUAGAAGGCUCCCAGAAAGUGCAUUUUUAGUUAAAUAAAACUUCAGAGAAAAACGCUUUGUUUGAACCCCUACUGCAAAGAAUGCUUUCCAGACACCUUGUUGCUUAUUUCUUCAAGUAUGGCCCACCAGUCAUAAUUGAAUUUUUCUUAGUUGAAUACUUGAACAGUCCUUUUAGUCCCCAUUCUAUAUAAAGUUUUUUUGAGUUUGAUGUGAAUUGAGCUGAAAAAAAUAACAAAAGGAUAUGAUUAUGAUUUUAUUUAAAAAAUAAAUGCUCAUGAUUACCGUAGUUUCCCAUGAUUUACUUCUGUUUGUUGAAGUCCAAAUUCUGGUGGAUAUCAAUAAGUAUAAUGUAAAAUAUACAUUAUAAGUAAUUUGUACUCACUGGUUUAGUUGCAUUUUUAGAAAGACAGUUAAGGAAGUAAAUGUCCCAUUAGCAGUUCUCAAUCGGCUGUUAACUUGCUUAUGUGAUGAUAGAAAAAUGAAGAAAAAAAUACUGAGGACUUUAUGUAAACAUGUGCAUACUAAAAUUAAUGUAUUAAAUUAACUUAAACUCCCUUUGCACCUAAAAUAAUAAACACAAACAGGAAUUCUUUUAUUUUUUUAGUUCCUGGUACAUUACAGGCACUGUAGAAAUAUUUCUUAAUUUAAGCCUCUUACAAAUCUUUAACAUUGGCAUUGAUUCCUUUUGGAUAUAAGAAAACUGCAGUUUGAAAUCAGAGAUUCCCAAAAGUUCUCAUCACAGUGCUCUUGGUCAUCCUUAUUCUUUUUAUGACUGUUAGAUCAAAAUAAAUGCCCAAGUUUCAGUUAUUAAAUGGAGAUAGAGCCAAACAACUCAAGUGUUGAUAGGUCGCCAGUGAAGACAAAGAUGAAACCAAACUACAGUUUCUUCGAUAGUUAUCACAACAAACUGUAUAAACUGAUGCAUCAAGGAAUAAUAACUCAACAAGUAAUGCUCAUUCAAGGAGUCGAUUUAUUUUGGGAGGAAAUGGACAUAUUGAUAGAUUCCUCCACUUUGAACUGCUUGCAGAACUUGCCUGGACUAUGUAUUACUUAUAUGCAUUGUGAUCUAUCUGUUGAUGCAGCGAAUUAUGGUAAUGCUGGUGUAUCUUUGCUGAUGUGUCACCAGUGAUGCAAUUUUUCCUAAGGAGCCGUCAAUUGGCUUGGUGUCGUGGCAUUUCUGUAUCCUCCUCCCUUCUACUAGUGAUGGUCUAAUUUGGGGGCCAACAGAGUUGAGGCAAAGAACCUCACUCCCCCACCGGCACCAAGGCCAAAUUUGGGGGCCAAAAGAUGUGAGGCAAAGAACCUCACCCCCCCACUGGUGCAUAGGCCUAUCCACAAGUAUGGCUAUAUGCUGGACUGGUAGUCAGUGACGGGUAUGAUCCAAUUGCAGUGGUAUCAACCUAAGACAGGAGGCUGACGCCUAGAGGUCAGUUCAUCCCAUGACGGGUAAGAACCAUAUGUUGAAUUGGACAAACCUAACAGGCAUGGUCCCUAGCCACAUUGCUUGUUGCUUAAUUAAACAGAAGGGGGGAGAUGCUAAGAGCCACAGCCAAGUAAUAUGAUGAAUGACAUUUUUGGUUGAAAGGUGACGCCAGCAAGCCAUUGAGAUGAUAUGAUUAUGUUAAGAUCUGCAUUCAUAUGGAUAUUGGACUCCUGCUGUCCACCUCGGCCUGCUACAGGACUCCUGGAGAGUUCCCAUUGGUUGGGGAAGUGCAGUAGGAGGGAAUUCGGAGGAGGGACUUCCUGAGGGGGUCCAGGAGAAUGCUGCGUGGGUCAGUCGGCAAUCUUCCCGGGAGCUUACAGGGCAUUGGCGGCAGUUUCAAAAAUAAAGUUUGUUCCUGCUUGAGUGGCUCAUGAUUUUGUGCCCAGCCAGACUGUGGCAAUUGGACACAGUCAUUUCAUUGCCUGUUCUAUAGUGAUCUUCACAUAGUACUUUUUUUCUUAAACUUUUUUUAUUUACCACAUACACAGCUUCAGGAAAAAUACAUCAUAGGAAGAAAGAGUGUGGGAUCUAAUGUAAAACUGAGUAGACUAAAGCUAGUCAUUGUCCUGAUUCUGGCAGUUUUCGAGUAUGACUGUUUUCUUUGAGAAAUAAAAGUACCCUGGGGUUCUCAUCUGCAGAACCUCAAUGUUAUGAGUCAGGCUAUAAAGUCAAUGACCAAACAGACUUGAUUUUACCCUGAGACUCCAUGUCAUGUAAGAAAUGCUUCUUCUUUGGGAACAUCCUUCCUCUGUACACCCAUCAACAGUUGCUUAGCAUAGCAUGUUUGGCAACACAAAAUGGCAAUUCUUUAUUAUUAUUAUUAUUAUUUUUUAGUUGUUGAUGGACAUUUAUUAUUUAUUUAUUUAUAUGCAGUGCUGAGAAUCAAACCUAGUACCUCACGCACGCUAGGCAAGUGCUCUACCACUGAGCCAAGACUCCAGCCCCCAACUGGCAAUUAUUAUACAAUGUAAAAUUGUUGUCUUUUUGGUUCCCAUUUUUCUUGGACAAUGUACCCCAACUGUACCCUAACAGCAUAGAAUAUUAAUGUUUGUCUAGAUGUUUGUAACCAUUCUUUGACUUGUACUCAACUAGGAUAGUUUUGAUCCACUCUCCUUCUGCUUAUAAUUUUAGACCUCAUGAUUUUUGUUUAUGGUUUUAAAUCAUAGCAACAGCCACUUAAGAUCAAUAUACUGACAUGCAUUAAAAGGUGUGCUCUAACCCUUCAAGGGUGUCAUAUGGUGGAGACUUGCAGCCUGCUCCUUGGCCCGCCAGCUGGUGAAUGUGGACCACCAGCUGGUGAAAAAAGAUGGUUCCAACUCAGGCUUCAAGACUGAGCUGGUGAUUUAUUGCAAUCUUGCCAUAACAUCAACACUCUUUUAACUGUGUAGCAAAGUAACUUGUUUAAGACCACAUUGGCAGAAAGUAUAAAUCUGCAAUUUGAAUUCAAUUAUCUGUGACCCCAAAACAGUUUUGGGCUACUGAAAUUUCCUGGGGACUUACUGAGAGAUAAGAAGUCUCCAGGAUCACUGGAUAUCCCUAGCUUAUUAUGAUAUUAGCAUUUUCAGCUAAUAAACAGCCUUAAAUUUUGCCUAGGUGAUCCUCUAGUUACUCAAAUCUUUAUUAACUACUGUGGGGUCUAUGAGGAAAUAUUUUUAAAAUCCUCUAUUUUCCAGCAGUUUAUGUUUUCUAGUUGGGAAAAGAGCAUGGAUUUUCAAAAUUUAACUGAAGUAAACUACUAGAAUCCAUAAGUGAAAGGUCCUUGUGUUCCUUUUGUAGAAGCAUUUUCUAAAUUAUAAUUUUGCUUGCAGGAAAGUGAUGUUUAUGCCUGCAAUAAAAUGUGUAUAUUUAAUUAAAAAUGCUGGACUUUAAGGAAACAACCACUUUAAUUUCUCUGGUUAUUAUUUGAAUUUCAGUGGUUAUAGUUAUUUAAAGAAAAAUUCCCAUGUUCUGUUUUUGUUAAUGCUUAUAUAUAUUUUUACUAGCUUAUUCAUUUUAAUCAUUUUAAUAUUACUUGCUUUUUUCAAAAAUUGAAAAUGAAACAACUGAAGAUAAAGUCCUUUGUAUUUCAAAUAAAAUUGCUUUAGUAAGUUUGCAAUAAUAACGUUGGUAUAAUAAUGGAAAAUCCCAUGAGGUCCAGAAUAUUGUCAACCCACUGCCAAUCUGCUGCUGUAUAAUUUGCUUAUAUUCAAACUGUUUUUCAAGUUGUUAUAGUAAAAUAUGGUCAUGAAUUUAGAAGAUUUCUUAAAAAGUUUCCCUGCAUCACCCAAUGAAAGAUAUAAUAUUUCCUUUAUAAUGUAAUGAAUAUCAGUACUGAGCAAAUUUUCUAGAACAUAUAUUUAAAGUUAAGUUAGUUCAUCUAAGUGGAAUAAAGAUGACUCCCUUACAAAUUGAUUCUUUGUAAUAUUUAGGUGUGAAUUACACAGUGCAAGAUUUGAGAGGGGGGAGCUCAAAUGACCAUCACAGAACCUUUAGGAUUCAUUUUCAUUUCAAAUGCUGAGAAUUGUAAUUUCAAUAUUUAUCAACAUGGAAAGCAAAUCUCACUAUUGUACCAAGUUCUACAGCUUACUUUUAAGAAUCAAGACUGAAAUAAAUUGCAUAGCUUAAGCAAAGUCUCAAACUGUCUUUUGUAACUGUUUCUAUGGAUUUUAAUGAAUUUUUUUGUCAUUUAUAUGCUGUUUAUUAAAGAAUCUGUAAUAAUAAUACAUAUAUUUUUUUCUAGAAAAUAAAAACAGUAAUUUUACAAUACAUUUAAUGGCAACUGGUAGUAACAAAAUUUCUGUAUUUUCUUUACAUGUUCUUUUAGACAAGUCUGCAACUUAGUAUUGAUUAUUUGCAAGUUACCCCACUAGCUGUACUAUCAUUUUUCAAAAGGUAGAUCAUGAUAAUGUAGAAUCAUAGUCAUAAUAUGAUCAUACAAAAUGAUCAGAUUGUAAAUCAGAUUGGGUUUAUCACCAGCACUUAUAAAACCAGACCCAGGGAAAGAACUAGGUCUGGGGAUACCAUGCAUGGUCUUAAUAUAGCGAAUGUUUAGCCUGCCCUGAUUAUUACAAAAAUCAGAACAGCGAGAAUAUUCGCAGUAUUUUUUUUUAAUCCAAGAAAAAUUUUGUAGUCAUUAGCUGCAGUACUUACAUACAUUAAAAAAAAACAAAUAAAUUCUUUCAGGAGAAUACCAUUGGAUCAGUGAGUUAGUUGAUAAGCAAUGGUAGCUGCUUAUGAAAGAAAGGCAUUUUAAAAAUAUUUGGCUUUAUUUAAGCUGAGUGGCACUUUAAGCCAGAAAAAUAAGAUACAAGAGGAGUUAAUUUUAAGUAUUAAGUAUUAAGGUCAUGGAAAGAGUAUAAAUUUCAAUUUGUCUGCAGAAGUGUACUGAGAGAGUUGAAUAGUAGCUAUUAAUGUGGAAGCACAAGUUGGCCCAAGUUUCAUCAUUUAUAUUUCAUAAGAAAUCCACUGCAACCAUAUUCAUAAUUCUGAUUUGACUCCUUGGGAUUGGCUGUUUCAUAGGAGUCAACGUUGGCUUUCUUAUCUCUUCUUGGUUUCUAUAUUCUUUGGGAUUUGUGUUCCUCAUUGCCAGCACAGGAUUUUUCUUUCCUUUCCUUUUUCUUUGGGUUCUGAUGGCGGUGCCUUCCACGAGCAUAGUUAGAAUAGGCAACUAAUGGUCUUUUCUACAUACACUAAAAAAUAACAUUUAUCCAGCAUCUGUGAUGGUUUGGAUGUGAGGUGUUUUCCAAGAAAGCUCAUGUUAGACAAUGUAGGAAUUGUCAGAGGUGAAAUGAUUAGAUUAUAAGAAUUGAAUCAGUAUAUUAAUAUACUUCAUGGGUUAAUAAUUUAAAUGGAAUUCGGUGUGCUAACUCUAGACAGAGUGUUGCUGAAGGAAGUAUACACUGGAGGGAUGCCGGGGAUUAUAACUUGCAACUGCCUUCUUACCUAUUCACUGUCUGCUUACUGGUUUCCAUGAGCUGGGAAUCUUUCCUCCAACACAACCUUCACCCAAGAUAUAAUGCCUUACUUUGGUCCCACAGCAAUGGAGCCAACUGAUCAUGGACUGAACCUAUGAAACCUUGACCCCAAAAUAAAAUUUUCCUGCUCUAAAUAAUUCUUGUCAGGUAUUUUGGUCAUACUGAUGAAAAGCUAACACAGCAUCUAAUAAUCUGUUAUUCAAGAUAACCAAUAUAACCUGGUACAGUAUGACACAAAGUCACUGGGGCAUAUAAGAAUAGAAAAGUAUUUCAGGAUAGUAAAACAAGGAGAGACGCUAGAAUAUAACCAUUCUUAUAAAGAACAUUCUUAUUUGUACUAACCUAGAUUGGUUAUGGGCAUUUACAAUUGUUAAUUGAUGGCUACAUUGGAUAACUGUAUCAUCUAAUUUUAUGCCAUCCAAAAGUAAUAACGAUCUCAGGAUAUGUCUUUUAUCAUGUCAUUGCUAAGUGAUUUUUCUAUUUGUUUUUCCAUUCAAGUAAUUAUUCUCUUAACUAGAGAAUCUUUUUUUAAAAAAGUAAAAUAAAAUUGGGGACAAUUAUAAGGUAGUAGAAAGUUUUCAAUAAAGAUUGGGUAUGCCUGAGAUUUAGUUUGUAUCUGCUUUAGUGUAUUAGUUUGCUGGGGAUUCCAUAAUAAAGUACUUUAGAUUGGAGAGUUUAAACAAAAGAAAGUUUUCACAAUUCUGGAGGUUAGAAGUUUAAGAUCAAGGUGUUCACAGGGUUAGUUUUUGGAUAGCUGUUUCCUUAAUUUGUAGGUGGGUGUUUUCCCUCCAUGUAUUCACUCUGUCCUAAUUUUAUCUUCUUGUAAAGACAUCAUGAUAUUGGAUGAGGGACUACUCUCAUGAUUUAAUGAUCCUAGUUAGCUAAUUUUAACUUAAUUACCUUUCUAAUAAGCCUACCUCCAAAUAUCAUCAUUCUGAGGUAGUUGGGGGUUAGCACUUCCACAUGUGAAUUUAUGGAGGAUAGGUUCUAUAGCCCUUAACAAUUAGCUUUGGUGAUUUUGUUUUGUUUUAUUGGUGGAUUAUUCUUAUACAAAAUAAUGGGAAGUAUUGAUACAUUCUUAUAUCCACAUAAAAUUAUUGGGUUAAUUUCAUUGCCCGUCAAUUCCCCUUUCCCUUCUCUCCUCUGUUUCCCAGUCCCCAUCUUUUACUAUACUGGUUAGUCUCCCUUCUUUAUUCAUGAACGUCUUUUUUUUUUCCCUUUUUUUUUUUUCUGUUGUCUACAUGUGAGAUAAAACACAUGCCCUUUACCUUCUGAAUCUGGCUUAUUUUACUUGACAUAAUAUUCUCCAGUUCAGUCCAUUUUCCUGAAAAUUAUAUAAUUUUGUGCUUCUUUAUGACUGGGUGUUGCUGUUGAGAUAUUCUACGCCCCCCUUCCCCCGAAAAAUAAAACAUCAUGUGGUAGGCAAUGUUGGAAUGUUCAGAAGUGAGAUGAUUAGAUUAUGAGAGCUGUAACCACAUCACUGGAUUAGUCUAUUUCACAGAUUCAUAAUCUGAAUGCACUACUAGGCUGUGGGGUGUGACUAAAGGAAGUACUCUUGGGAUAUGCCCUUGGACUAUAUUUUGUUCUCUUUUUUUGUUGUUGUUGUUCUGUUUCUUCACUGCCAUGAAAUCAGUAGCCUCUUCUACCAUGCUCUUCCUGCAUGAUGUUCUGUCUCAUCUCAGGUUGAGAGCAAUGGAGUUGGCCAACCAAGGAAAGAUCCCCAAAUUAACUUUUCCUCCUCUAAGUUGUUUUUCCAGGUAUUUUGGUCAAAACAUUGAAAAGCUGACCAACACACUAUGUAAAUCUCCAUUUCAUUCAUAUAUAUAUAUAUAUAUAUAUAUAUAUAUAUAUAUAUGAAUAAACAAAAUGGUAUAUAUAUAUACUUUGUUUAUUCAUUUUGUUUAUUCAUUUUUUUUUUGUUGAUGGACACCUAAGUUGGUAUCAUAACUUGGCUAUUGUCAAUUGCACUGUCAUAAACAUGGGUAUGUAUGUAUCACUAUAGUGUUCUGACUUCAGUGCUUUUGAAUAAAUACCUAGGAAUGAUAUAGCUGGGAAAAGUGCCAAUUCCAUACUUAGUAUUUUGAGAACCUCCACACUGAUUUCCACUGUGACUGUACUAAUUUACAAUCCAUUUUGUGACUUUCUAGACUUCAGUAAGAAGUUUUUAGUUUUAUUCUCUACAAAAAAUCUGGGUGUUUAGCAUUCAUAUGGUCUCACAUCCUUGAGGAAUGUGAUGAUUAUAUCAGCCUUGUUUCCCAUUGUAUGAAAAAAAAAAACCUGUUGGAAAAAAUUGGAUUUUGAACAUAUUCAAUAUGUUGACUUCUGGUGAUCACAAUAAUGGUAAUAAAAAGUGAGAUUUUCAAAUGCCUUCUGAGUCAAUAAAGAUUUUAAUUACAUAUAUAUGCAUAUAUAUUAAUCAAAAUGAUAUGAAAAUUUAAAAUUUAGAGCUGAUAUUUAAUGUGUACAUGUCCAUGUGUAAUGCACUUGACUAUUUGUGUUAAACUGUCACAUCUUUAAUAUUUCACAUUUAUGGAUUGUCAUAAAUUUUGUGAAAUUAGAAGGGAAAGCAUUACAUCUGUUCAGUUUUACGAAAUCUAAAAAUAAAAUACAAUGAUGGUGUAAUAUCUAAAAUCGCACAUUUAAUGACAAGCAAAGCUCAGACUCAUAGUUGAAGUUCUUCAGAUAUUAAACCCUGCUCUUUACAAACUAUAUGAUAUUCCUUCUUUGAGAAUACUAGAAGAAAAUUUUGAACAAACAUUUUCAUUUAAGCCCUUGCCAAGUUUAUAUAGAAUCUUCUUUGAUUUAAAUACCCCUACAAUGAUUUAUGUUAAAUUUAAUCUCUGUGGUGAGGUAUCAAGCAUGGAAGAGUAAUCUGUGGUAUUUAAAGAUGGGAGAUUUGGGAGGUAAUUAGGGUUAAAUGAGGUCAACAGAUUUGACCAGUAGCCCAAUGGCACUGCAGUUUUGUAAGAAGAGGAUUCUUGAACUAGGAUGCUCUGUUUUUUUGUGUGAUGCCUUGGCUAUCUGCAGAGUCCUUACCAUGCAAGAAAGACCUUCCCAAUGCAGCCACCUAGGCUUGAACUUUCCGGUCUUUAGAAUUGUGAGUUGAAUAAAAUUUGAUUCUCCAUAAGUUAUUCUACAAUAUUCAGUUAGAGCAACAACAACAACAACAAACAAAUAAACAAAACCAGCCUACAAAAGAGCCUUUACUAAAGAGGAAAAGGAAUUUAAAUUUUAAGAGAAUAAAACAAGAUGCUAAAUUGGUAGACAUAGAAAGAGAUGACAUUCACUAGAGCAAAUAAACACUGAGUAAACACAGAAUUCUGUUACUGUCGUUAAAGGGUUAAAAAUAUUUCUCAGUGCUGAGACUGAGGCUGUGGCUCAGUGGUAAAGGGCUCUCCUGGUGUGUGUGAGGCACUGGGUUCGAUUCUCAGCACCACAUAUAAAUAAAUAAAAGCUUAUCAACAAUUAAAAAUAAAACAAAGUAGCCAAUACUCUUUAAAAAUAUUUCUCAAAAGAAAUUAAGUGCAGAAAAUUAGAAAAAAAGAAAAAAAAUGAAUGAGAGGAGAUAAAUUCAAUUUAUGGAACUAUAAGUGAAAUUUUUAUUAACCUGAAUUACAAUAUAAAUGCAAAUACUAAAUCAACAUAUCCAGUUAGCUAGAGAUUUGCUGCAGGUGGAAAAAGAAAUCCAUCUGACAAGUCCAUACUAAACCUUAUGCCUGUUACUUAGCAUAUAGACAAAAUUAUUCCAAAUAUCAUUAAACUUUCUCCAUCUGCAAAUCUAUUUAUCACAUUUUGUUUUUAUAUAUUCUAUGAAAAAAGUUCCUCAAAGAAAUACCAUAAUCACUCCAUUUCUUAUGUUCUUAGUGUAUUAUUCACUGAAAUACACCAAGAUUAAGUCUAAGCAUAGAAUAAUUAGUUUUCAUGCAUUAUCAAAUUAUUAACUACAUUCCUGACUUCUGGCUAGUGUCAAGUCCUUUCUUCUACUAACAAUGUGGAUACUUCAAGUAGUUGGACGUUAUUAUUACUUAAAUAUUAGGUGUCCCCAAAAAGCACAUGUAUGAGACAAUGCAAGAAAGUUUCGAGGUGAAAUGAUUUGUGUCAUGAGAGCCUAAAUCCUUAAAUAGGGAUUAAUUGGAUGGUAACUGGGCAGGUAGGGGUGGCUGGAGGAGGUGUGUUCCUGGGGGCAUGCCUUUGGCGUAUACAUUUUAUCAUUGUUGAGCACACACCCCUCUUACCCUUUCUCUCUCCCUUUCUCUCCCCAACUCCCUCCUUCCCCGCUCCUCUCCCUUCCUAGUUGUUUUCCCAGCUGUUUUCUUCCAUCGCUCUCUUCUGCCUCACCUCAGGUCCCAGAGAAUGGAGUCAGGUAUCUAUGUUCUAGGGCCUCUGACCCCAUGAGCCCCCCUUCUUCCUCUGUAUGUUCUUGUUAGGUCUUUUGAUCACAAUAGUGAAAAAACUGGCUAAAACAGUUAUACUGGUGCCAGUGGCUAUAUUUGCUUCAGUAAAAGAUUUCCUUCUUUAUUUUAAAGUAAGCUCUCAGAUAAGGGAUAGGCAGUGAUUGUAGUCUUUAUCAAUAUUAAACAAUUAAAAAAAAUUAAGACUUUUUUCUAAAUUAGUUUGGAUAAAGAUUUUAAACUCUCAAGACAUCCACAAAAUUCUAAAACAUUUGAUCAAUCUGAUUUUCCUGCUUUCUCUCAUCUCUGCCACUUCCAAAUACACACAUAAUGGAGUGUUUCUGCAUUUUAUCAUUUUUUAGUAAACACUGGAAGGAAGGCAGUGUAGUACAGGCAAUGAGUGUACAGCAUGUUGGCUUUGAAGAGUUCGAGGGUCCUAUUCUGUCAUUUUCAUCACCAUUUGUCUAGCCAAGGUGUGAAUGCACACUAUCCCAACAUAGUGUGAAUGAUGGAGAGUUAUAGGAGAAGGAAAUUGUGUGAUAGGUUAAGCAAUGGGCAUAUCCCAUAGUAUAGAAAAGAAAAGUUUCUGAAAAAAUAUUAAUGACAAUUUGGAACAGAAUAUACACCAGCAAAGAAUCACACUCAAAAUUGUUAAGGCAGAUAGGCUCUUAGUGACAUCAGAGGAACAGGUAAGCAGGCUGACUAGUCAGGGAGGCAGAGAUGAGAGAAAAGCAAGUGUGAGCAGAUUCCUGGGCUCCCAUGCUUCUUUGCAUCCCUAUUUUACUCUCUCCAUCCAUGUCAAGGCCACCUCCCAUGAUUCAGAUUUCUUCCUUGCUUCUCCUACUUACAUAUUUGUCAGUUACUUGCCCCAUUCUCUUAGCAAUCACAUUCUUUGACACUAGUAAUUAGAUCAGUUAAUUUACUAAGCAACACCAGUGGUUGAAGCUAACUCACUGCCUCUUCCUGACAGAGUGCAUUUGUAACACACUCCACAUGUGCACACUCACAUUUCACCUAUGUAUGUACAGGACCACGGUGCAUUUGUCUGGAGCAGGCAGGCAGGCAGGCAGGAAGUGAAAUACUUUAGGAAAAAAGGUUUGCUCUUCUCCAGUGAAUGCCCAUCUUCUGCUAAUGGGUACUGAGAGGUAUUUGUCUCAUCCCAGUGAUUCAGCUGUGACUGGAGAGAAAGAGAUUGAUAAAGGAGGGAAGGAAAUGCCAUGGGGAAAUGCAGCAGAUAGGGCUCAAACUUUGGGGGCCAAGUAGAGUUUCUGCAGGUUUAUUGAUUUUCUUUUUGAAAUACUAUUUGAAAGGCUUCUCUCAAAGUUCAUGAGUGAGGACAUUUUUAAGCAAGACUGUGGCAAAGACAUGUUUAUGGUUGACACUGUGUCAUUUCCCAGUUUAUGGUACCCAUUUGGGGAAUAUGUUUAUACCCUUCUUAGUGCUGGCAUUUACCAAGCAAAGAUGCCACUUGGAAAGGGUGAUUUAUUUUUUGCACCAUUAUAUUUUGAAAGACUUUCAGGUUACAAGAACCCUUUGAAGUUAAAGCCCGUGAUGUUAAGAUUAAUAACAGUAAUUAUAGGGCUCUGUAAUAGUAGAAAAAUCUGUAGCUUGCCUUUGAGAUUGAAUAUGAAAGGUUCCAGGUCCAAGGGAGUAAUAAAAGCUUUUUCUUUCUGCAAGGACAGCCAGGAACAGGAAGAAGUUUCUUCCUGGAAAAUACACAGGGGUGUUGAAUGUUCAAGUUUUUCUGAAGAUAAGGUGAUCCUCUGUAACCUGGCCCCAGGGACUACUUUAGGUCAUAAUCACUUUUGUUUGAUCUUUUUUGUUUUGCUUUGUUUAUAAUGUCAAUGCUCACCUGGGAAAUUAGGAUUGUUUUGACCCUUUCUCCCUUGCUGCAUACUUCAAAGUGUGCUCUGAUUUAAAAUGUUCUUCCUGGUAGCUGUGGAGAAAAUUGUCCCCCUAAAAAACCCUUUAAGUUCUUGUGAUAAUGAGAAAUGGCCAAAUUAAAUACUAUUCUAAUGAUUUUCUCCCAUUCACUAAACUUUUUAGGAAGCCCUUUGAGAGGAAGGAGAGGAAAAAGUAUAUGAUAAAUGAGGUGGAAAAAUUAGUGGGAAGUAAGUGAUAAUGAAUGAACAAGGGGUGAAGGGGAAAAUAUAAGCAAAAAGGUGAAGAAUAGCUUGGAAAAAUAAAGAGGUGGAAAUUGUGUAAGAAAUAAAGAAAUGAAGAGAGAAAAAAAGCAAGACACAGACAGGAAGAAGAAGUGAAAGAGGAGGUGGGCAAUUCUUUUCUCUUUUUUUUCACAGUCUUCACACAAAAGAAGAACUGAAAUUCAAGCUCAAAUAUAGAAUCUGAGCAUUGCAUCACCCACAAUCUAUAACAGGAAAAGAUAUAUUUGGAAAUGUACAAACAGAAAGUUUGUGCUUGAUAGUAUUCCUCAGACUGCAUAAGAAAAACAAUAAUGCCAGGUCUCAAGUGUAGAAAGACAUGGGGAAGCCUGAACCUGGGAAGUCACACAGGGCACACAAUGACUUGGGAAUACUUUGUCCUCUCCUUAGGGGACUCUGGAAUCCCUCAUGGGCAUGUACCUCAUCUGGAGAACUUUUGUAUCUACAUACUCUUUCCCUUGUCCUUGUAAGUCUAUCUUUAAUCUUUCCAUUCUUUCUUUUUAUAAAAAAUUCUUCUCCGUUUUUUUCCUUCUUAAAAAAUCUAUGAUAGAUCGAAUUAUGUUUUCCAAUUCCUCACCCCUCUCCCCCCACCCCAUAUCCACACCCUUUUCCAUGUAAUGUUUAAAUUCUUCCCACUAGUUGCAAGAUGUGCCCACUUCUACCCAUUGACUUUGGGCUUGGUCAUGACGAGGAUGUCAACAGAUAUGAUGCAAGUGGUUUAGAAAUGCUUCUUGGGCCUACGCUCUUGUGCUUCUGCUGAUGCCAUGAGAGGAAUGUGUCUCAAUUAUUUUCCAAGGUCUCAAUAAAUGAAAAACAUUUAGACUAGAUAUAAAGAAGACAGGUAGAAUGGAGUGAAACCCAGAAGAAUUCAGCAACCAAGGUCAGCAAAAAUAUUCUAGUCAAACCACAGCUGCAUGAACAGAAAAUAAUUGCUCAUUAUUUCAGGUAGUAAAAUUUUGGGAAAGUUGUUGCAAUAUAGUAUUUUUUAAAAAUGCUGUUUUGACCCAGUUUUAAGAUUCUGGCUAUAGGCAAGUCAGUUCCCCUUCUUGAACAGUUAAUGAAGUCCACGUCCUACCCAUUUCCUUUAAUGGACUUUCACAUGCAUCCCCUCUAAUCACUGUGGGAUCAGGCACUUGAUAACUAGGACCAUCCCAGAGAUCACAGAAAUUAUUCCAAUUAGUCAAUCCACCAAAGCUUGAAAACCUAACUGUACAUUACUUGCCUUAGAUAAGUGGUUUCCCCAAAGCUCCAGCUUACAGUUCCCCUGUGCUCUUUUAUCUAUCCAAAUAUCUGUGUGCUGUGGCCCACCAUCAAACAGUUCUUUAAAUCUUAAAAAACAGUUGUUAUGAAAUAUUAUUGAAGCAAUAUAUGCCUGAAAUAGCCACUCACUUUAAAACACUUAGGAUAAAACCACACUUCUCAGCAUCAUUGGAUAGUAUAGCAAAUCACUAUGCCCUUUUCUGCCCUUGAUCUCACACACCUUUCCUAUCAUGUUGUUUGAUGUGUGAAGUGAUAACAAUGUUUGGUUGAAUUAAAUAAAAGGAAGUUUGAAAUAAUCAUAGAACUUUAUAGAUAUUGGGAGAGACAGAAAAGCAAUUUAAUUCCUUUCAACUAAUAACAUAAACCCAUUACUUCCCUUUCUUUCUUCUAACUGUUCUUUCUAUGGUAUUAGGUAAAGAAAGACCACAGAGUUUGAGAAUAUGACUUUAUUUCACCUAUUCUUUCAUAAGUUACAGUACUAUUGGCAUGACACUCAUUUUGAGUUCCUGUUUUCUAAUGAAGUAAUCAUGAAAAGUCUUUAUAAAAGCAAGGGAUAUACAAUUGAUAUUUAGAGAUGUGAAUUAAUAAGACAAUGCUUUUAAGAGUUUCAUCAAUUUCAAAAUAGUUCAUUAACUAUUUACAAUUAUGAUUAGUAUGUUAGUCAUAAAGUUGUAAAUGUGAGUGCUUCAUAAACUAGAGCUUCUAUCUUACAAUAAGAAAUUUCCAACUAAUUGAAGCACCCAUCUAGUAACAAAUGUCAAACAGCCUAAUAUGUUUGCCAUAAACCCAGGAAGAUCUGACAACUGAAGAGGUUUUUUGUCAGGAAAAAUUCUCCAUCCACUUGCUAUCUCAUAAUUUCAUAUGACCUUAUGUUGAGUCUCUGAAGAAAGACAAAAGUGAAAUAUGAAAUUUGGAAGAACUUGGAUGGAGUAUCUUGGUUGAAAUUUUGAUUUCCCCUAUCACUAUUUGAUGGCUCAGAAUUACAUCAUUCAUGCAUGUGAAGGCAUUCAGCUUAAAUUUUUCUUCCUUUCUUUCUUUCUUUCCUUCUUUCUUUCUUUCUUUUUUUAAGGUACACAUGUCUUCUAUGUAUUCAGAACUCAAAGAAAGAAUAGUCACAUACUUCAGUGGAAUAGUUUGGCAGGAAAGUAAAUGCAAUUUGUACUGAGAUAUUCUAUGCUUUGAAUUCUGGUUAUGCUAUUUGCUACUUUUACUACUGUAGGAAAUUCACAUAACUUCUUUGAAUAUAAUUUUUCUCAUUUAUAAAUUAGGAUAUUAAUUUCAACAUCAAGGAAUUAUUGAAGUUAGUAAGGGUCACAGAGAAAAAUAUUGAAUCCAUCUUCUGACACAUAGUAAGUGCUUAGAUCUUUAUAGUAUCUAAAAAGGCAAUGAUAAAGGAGAGCAACAAAUAGAGAAGAUGAAAUUAAAAAGAGAAGGAUUAGUGUUGUUACAUCAUCUCUCUGAUAACUCAACAAGAAUGGAAAAUUAUCUGUCUCUUAUUAAUUCUUUAACCACUUGAUUAUUCAACAUUUUUGAUACCAAUCAUGUCCUUGGCAGUGUGGAAGUCACUGAUGCAGUUACAAAGAUAUAUGACAUCUAUGAGGCCAUUAAUAACAUCUCCUUCCAGGAAGAGAUGAGGCACUAUUACACAUAACUAUAAGUCAAAAUUUCCCAACAAGCUCACCAUCAGAAAUCUAUUUACAUGAGACCCAGGGGUCUAUUUUCAAGUUAGUUUAAAUACAUGCACAGAGGACUCCUCAUUCACCCUUGAAAAUUCACAAAUUGAGGCUUCUCUGAGUGCUUCCUGUGCAAUUGGUAGGGAACAAGGAUCCAUUGUUCUAAGCGAAUUUUCCUCUUCGAUGACUUGUGAGACUACUGUUGCACACAACACCUUUUGCAAAAUGCUUCUAAAAUGAAGGUAGAAAGUGAUAAGCAACAUAAGGAAAGAUCAUUCAUAGGAUGUUGAUGUGGGAGAAAUUACAUCUUUUCCAGGGAAGAGACUGGAAGGAUUACGGACAAAAGAGCCACUUUAGAGUGAGACUUAAAACAUGAUUAGGGACUGCAGAAGUAGAAACUGCAUAGAGAAAUUACUAAAUUAAAAGGAGACAUGAAGUUUAUAAAAUCUACACAUAAAUGGAUUUAUGUGCCAAGUAAGGGUAAAAUGAAGUGAUUUCUGAAAUGAUCAACUCAAAAUGUUUUUAAUUCUGAAAAUCACGAGUUUAUUCCAUCAGCUCUGAAAAACUGCUGACGAUUUUGAGCAGGAAAGACCAUUGACCUGAAUUAUGUUUGGGAAGAUCAAUCCAGCAGUUGUAUAUAGAACAUAUUAGAAAAAGAGAAAAGUAGCAGGUAUACAACUUGCAAAGAAUCAUGAAUAAGUACAAUGAUCAUCCCUUCUUUUCCACCAACUGAGAUGCCAUUCAAAUUCCUCCUCCUGCUCUCCCAAGAAAGAGAAGGCCUUCAUUAUAGACCUGGAAGAAGGAUGGGCCUGAGUUUAUUUACCUGACCUUCAGAGGAAUUCAGUCUAGAAUUUACUAUAUGUCUCAUAGUGAAGACAUUGACUGUUAUAACUUUUCUCUCCAAAAAUUACUGGCAUAAUAAAAAAUAUUGAUAAAGUUUAUCAAGACAUAUAAAGGAUAUUUUCAUGUUAUUUUGAAACAAAUCACAUAUGCAAAUUAAGGAUAUUUAUGGAAUGAGAAGAACAUUAGCAAUAUGAAGUAUGCUUCUUAGUUUCUGGGAGAACCCAUUUCCUUUUGUAAAAUAAUGGUGACAAUUAUAUACACCUUCAUAAUUAUAGUUAUUUUCUAUUGAGUGCAUUUCAAGCAUUAGGACUUAUUCAUGGUGCCUAAUAUUUAUUAUUGCAUUCGAAUUUUAAAAUACCAAUGAGGCUAAAGUUUCACAUGAGGUUAAGCUGAGAUUGGGAUGUGUUACAAAAAAGCACUCUUGACACGGUCUCAGCAAACUAUAGAAUAAUUGCAGAAUAGGACUCAGUUGUUGCCUAGAAGAACAAAGCACUUAUUCUGAGCUUUUUAGUAUUAAAUAAUACUAGAUUCUCCAGUAAGGAAUUUACCCCACUGCUUAGGCUCAAAGUCUAAGAAAGUCUUCCUUUUCCUUUUAAAAAAUGUUUUUCUGAGCUAAUAUCUUGCAAGAAGCAUUAUUAUCUUUCAACACUGAAUCUGCCUGUUACACCAAUGUGACAUUUGUUUACCAACUUCAGUAUGCAUCCAUCAUGAAAAUAAGAUUGGAAUCAACCAAAGUGCCCAUUUACAGGAGAAUGGAUGAAAAAAAAUGGUCUAUACACACAUACACAAACACAAACACACACACAUACACACACAUACACACACAUACACAUUAUGGAAUAUAUUUAUAUUGAAGAAUAUGAUCCUGCCAUUUUAAAUAACGAAUGGAUAGUCAUUAUGUUUAGUAUAAUAAAGCAGAUACAGGAAGACAGAUACCACAUGUUCUCACUCAUUUGAGCAAACUAAAAAGUCAGUCAUUCAGAAGGUGGAGUGGAAAGGUGGACACAAAGAUUCGAAGGGCAGGGAAAGUAGAACAGGAAGAGGUUAGAUAAAUGGCACCAAACCAGUUGGACUGGUGGAAUUAGUUUUGAUUUUCUAUACCACACUAACGUAACUAUUGUCUAUAUAAAUCUAUGGAAUAGUUAAAAAAAACUAGAAAAGCAAUACAUUUAUCAACACAUGGAAAUGAUUAAUAUUUGAGGAGAUGAAAGUGCCUAGUACUCUAAUUUAAUCAUUACACAUUGUGCACAUAUAUCAAAUUUUAUAUCAUACUCCAUAAAUAUGUACAAAUAUUAUGUCUCAAUAAAAGUAAAUUUAAAAUACCAUAAGUUUUUUUUUAAAGUGGCUCUUUUGUCCGUAAUCCUUCCAGUCUCUUCCCUGGAAAAGAUGUAAUUUCUCCCACAUCAACAUCCUAUGAAUGAUCUUUCCUUAUGUUGCUUAUCACUUUCUACCUUCAUUUUAGAAGCAUUUUGCAAAAGGUGUUGUGUGCAACAGUAGUCUCACAAGUCAUCGAAGAGGAAAAUUCGCUUAGAACAAUGGAUCCUUGUUCCCUACCAAUUGCACAGGAAGCACUCAGAGAAGCCUCAAUUUGUGAAUUUUCAAGGGUGAAUGAGGAGUCCUCUGUGCAUGUAUUUAAACUAACUUGAAAAUAGACCCCUGGGUCUCAUGUAAAUAGAUUUCUGAUGGUGAGCUUGUUGGGAAAUUUUGACUUAUAGUUAUGUGUAAUAGUGCCUCAUCUCUUCCUGGAAGGAGAUGUUAUUAAUGGCCUCAUAGAUGUCAUAUAUCUUUGUAACUGCAUCAGUGACUUCCACACUGCCAAGGACAUGAUUGGUAUCAAAAAUGUUGAAUAAUCAAGUGGUUAAAGAAUUAAUAAGAGACAGAUAAUUUUCCAUUCUUGUUGAGUUAUCAGAGAGAUGAUGUAACAACACUAAUCCUUCUCUUUUUAAUUUCAUCUUCUCUAUUUGUUGCUCUCCUUUAUCAUUGCCUUUUUAGAUACUAUAAAGAUCUAAGCACUUACUAUGUGUCAGAAGAUGGAUUCAAUAUUUUUCUCUGUGACCCUUACUAACUUCAAUAAUUCCUUGAUGUUGAAAUUAAUAUCCUAAUUUAUAAAUGAGAAAAAUUAUAUUCAAAGAAGUUAUGUGAAUUUCCUACAGUAGUAAAAGUAGCAAAUAGCAUAACCAGAAUUCAAAGCAUAGAAUAUCUCAGUACAAAUUGCAUUUACUUUCCUGCCAAACUAUUCCACUGAAGUAUGUGACUAUUCUUUCUUUGAGUUCUGAAUACAUAGAAGACAUGUGUACCUUAAAAAAAGAAAGAAAGAAAGAAGGAAAGAAAGAAAGAAAGGAAGAAAAAUUUAAGCUGAAUGCCUUCACAUGCAUGAAUGAUGUAAUUCUGAGCCAUCAAAUAGUGAUAGGGGAAAUCAAAAUUUCAACCAAGAUACUCCAUCCAAGUUCUUCCAAAUUUCAUAUUUCACUUUUGUCUUUCUUCAGAGACUCAACAUAAGGUCAUAUGAAAUUAUGAGAUAGCAAGUGGAUGGAGAAUUUUUCCUGACAAAAAACCUCUUCAGUUGUCAGAUCUUCCUGGGUUUAUGGCAAACAUAUUAGGCUGUUUGACAUUUGUUACUAGAUGGGUGCUUCAAUUAGUUGGAAAUUUCUUAUUGUAAGAUAGAAGCUCUAGUUUAUGAAGCACUCACAUUUACAACUUUAUGACUAACAUACUAAUCAUAAUUGUAAAUAGUUAAUGAACUAUUUUGAAAUUGAUGAAACUCUUAAAAGCAUUGUCUUAUUAAUUCACAUCUCUAAAUAUCAAUUGUAUAUCCCUUGCUUUUAUAAAGACUUUUCAUGAUUACUUCAUUAGAAAACAGGAACUCAAAAUGAGUGUCAUGCCAAUAGUACUGUAACUUAUGAAAGAAUAGGUGAAAUAAAGUCAUAUUCUCAAACUCUGUGGUCUUUCUUUACCUAAUACCAUAGAAAGAACAGUUAGAAGAAAGAAAGGGAAGUAAUGGGUUUAUGUUAUUAGUUGAAAGGAAUUAAAUUGCUUUUCUGUCUCUCCCAAUAUCUAUAAAGUUCUAUGAUUAUUUCAAACUUCCUUUUAUUUAAUUCAACCAAACAUUGUUAUCACUUCACACAUCAAACAACAUGAUAGGAAAGGUGUGUGAGAUCAAGGGCAGAAAAGGGCAUAGUGAUUUGCUAUACUAUCCAAUGAUGCUGAGAAGUGUGGUUUUAUCCUAAGUGUUUUAAAGUGAGUGGCUAUUUCAGGCAUAUAUUGCUUCAAUAAUAUUUCAUAACAACUGUUUUUUAAGAUUUAAAGAACUGUUUGAUGGUGGGCCACAGCACACAGAUAUUUGGAUAGAUAAAAGAGCACAGGGGAACUGUAAGCUGGAGCUUUGGGGAAACCACUUAUCUAAGGCAAGUAAUGUACAGUUAGGUUUUCAAGCUUUGGUGGAUUGACUAAUUGGAAUAAUUUCUGUGAGCUCUGGGAUGGUCCUAGUUAUCAAGUGCCUGAUCCCACAGUGAUUAGAGGGGAUGCAUGUGAAAGUCCAUUAAAGGAAAUGGGUAGGACGUGGACUUCAUUAACUGUUCAAGAAGGGGAACUGACUUGCCUAUAGCCAGAAUCUUAAAACUGGGUCAAAACAGCAUUUUUAAAAAAUACUAUAUUGCAACAACUUUCCCAAAAUUUUACUACCUGAAAUAAUGAGCAAUUAUUUUCUGUUCAUGCAGCUGUGGUUUGACUAGAAUAUUUUUGCUGACCUUGGUUGCUGAAUUCUUCUGGGUUUCACUCCAUUCUACCUGUCUUCUUUAUAUCUAGUCUAAAUGUUUUUCAUUUAUUGAGACCUUGGAAAAUAAUUGAGACACAUUCCUCUCAUGGCAUCAGCAGAAGCACAAGAGCGUAGGCCCAAGAAGCAUUUCUAAACCACUUGCAUCAUAUCUGUUGACAUCCUCGUCAUGACCAAGCCCAAAGUCAAUGGGUAGAAGUGGGCACAUCUUGCAACUAGUGGGAAGAAUUUAAACAUUACAUGGAAAAGGGUGUGGAUAUGGGGUGGGGGGAGAGGGGUGAGGAAUUGGAAAACAUAAUUCGAUCUAUCAUAGAUUUUUUAAGAAGGAAAAAAACGGAGAAGAAUUUUUUAUAAAAAGAAAGAAUGGAAAGAUUAAAGAUAGACUUACAAGGACAAGGGAAAGAGUAUGUAGAUACAAAAGUUCUCCAGAUGAGGUACAUGCCCAUGAGGGAUUCCAGAGUCCCCUAAGGAGAGGACAAAGUAUUCCCAAGUCAUUGUGUGCCCUGUGUGACUUCCCAGGUUCAGGCUUCCCCAUGUCUUUCUACACUUGAGACCUGGCAUUAUUGUUUUUCUUAUGCAGUCUGAGGAAUACUAUCAAGCACAAACUUUCUGUUUGUACAUUUCCAAAUAUAUCUUUUCCUGUUAUAGAUUGUGGGUGAUGCAAUGCUCAGAUUCUAUAUUUGAGCUUGAAUUUCAGUUCUUCUUUUGUGUGAAGACUGUGAAAAAAAAGAGAAAAGAAUUGCCCACCUCCUCUUUCACUUCUUCUUCCUGUCUGUGUCUUGCUUUUUUUCUCUCUUCAUUUCUUUAUUUCUUACACAAUUUCCACCUCUUUAUUUUUCCAAGCUAUUCUUCACCUUUUUGCUUAUAUUUUCCCCUUCACCCCUUGUUCAUUCAUUAUCACUUACUUCCCACUAAUUUUUCCACCUCAUUUAUCAUAUACUUUUUCCUCUCCUUCCUCUCAAAGGGCUUCCUAAAAAGUUUAGUGAAUGGGAGAAAAUCAUUAGAAUAGUAUUUAAUUUGGNNNNNNNNNNNNNNNNNNNNNNNNNNNNNNNNNNNNNNNNNNNNNNNNNNNNNNNNNNNNNNNNNNNNNNNNNNNNNNNNNNNNNNNNNNNNNNNNNNNNNNNNNNNNNNNNNNNNNNNNNNNNNNNNNNNNNNNNNNNNNNNNNNNNNNNNNNNNNNNNNNNNNNNNNNNNNNNNNNNNNNNNNNNNNNNNNNNNNNNNNNNNNNNNNNNNNNNNNNNNNNNNNNNNNNNNNNNNNNNNNNNNNNNNNNNNNNNNNNNNNNNNNNNNNNNNNNNNNNNNNNNNNNNNNNNNNNNNNNNNNNNNNNNNNNNNNNNNNNNNNNNNNNNNNNNNNNNNNNNNNNNNNNNNNNNNNNNNNNNNNNNNNNNNNNNNNNNNNNNNNNNNNNNNNNNNNNNNNNNNNNNNNNNNNNNNNNNNNNNNNNNNNNNNNNNNNNNNNNNNNNNNNNNNNNNNNNNNNNNNNNNNNNNNNNNNNNNNNNNNNNNNNNNNNNNNNNNNNNNNNNNNNNNNNNNNNNNNNNNNNNNNNNNNNNNNNNNNNNNNNNNNNNNNNNNNNNNNNNNNNNNNNNNNNNNNNNNNNNNNNNNNNNNNNNNNNNNNNNNNNNNNNNNNNNNNNNNNNNNNNNNNNNNNNNNNNNNNNNNNNNNNNNNNNNNNNNNNNNNNNNNNNNNNNNNNNNNNNNNNNNNNNNNNNNNNNNNNNNNNNNNNNNNNNNNNNNNNNNNNNNNNNNNNNNNNNNNNNNNNNNNNNNNNNNNNNNNNNNNNNNNNNNNNNNNNNNNNNNNNNNNNNNNNNNNNNNNNNNNNNNNNNNNNNNNNNNNNNNNNNNNNNNNNNNNNNNNNNNNNNNNNNNNNNNNNNNNNNNNNNNNNNNNNNNNNNNNNNNNNNNNNNNNNNNNNNNNNNNNNNNNNNNNNNNNNNNNNNNNNNNNGGGUGGACCAAUGGUACAGAAUAGAGGACACAGAGACUAAUCCACAAAGCUACAACUAUCUUAUAUUUGAUAAAGGAGCUAAAAGCAUGCAAUGGAGGAAGGAUAGCAUCUUCAACAAAUGGUGCUGGGAAAACUGGAAAUCCAUAUGCAACAAAAUGAAACUGAAUCCCCUCCUCUCGCCAUGCACAAAAGUUAACUCAAAGUGGAUCAAGGAGCUAGAUAUCAAAUCAGAGACUCUGCGUCUGAUAGAAGAAAAAGUUGGCUCCGAUCUACAUAUUGUGGGGUCGGGCUCCAAAUUCCUUAAUAGGACACCCAUAGCACAAAAGUUAAUAACAAGAAUCAACAAAUGGGACUUACUUAAACUGAAAAGUUUUUUCUCAGCAAGAGAAACAAUAAGAGAGGUAAAUAGGGAGCCUACAUCAUGGGAACAAAUUUUUACUCCUCACACUUCAGAUAGAGCCCUAAUAUCCAGAGUAUACAAAGAACUCAAAAAAUUAAACAAUAAGAAAACAAAUAACCCAAUCAACAAAUGGGCCAAGGACCUGAACAGACACUUCUCAGAGGAGGACAUACAAUCAAUCAACAAGUACAUGAAAAAAUGCUCACCAUCUCUAGCAGUCAGAGAAAUGCAAAUCAAAACCACCCUAAGAUACCAUCUCACUCCAGUAAGAUUGGCAGCCAUUAUGAAGUCAAACAACAACAAGUGCUGGAGAGGAUGUGGGGAAAAGGGUACUCUUGUACAUUGCUGGUGGGACUGCAAACUGGGGCAGCCAAUUUGGAAAGCAGUAUGGAGAUUCCUGGGAAAGCUGGGAAUGGAACCUCCAUUUGACCCAGCUAUUGCCCUUCUCGGACUAUUCCCUGAAGACCUUAAAAGAGCAGGGAUACUGCUACAUCGAUGUUCAUAGCAGCACAAUUCACAAUUUCUAGACUGUGGAACCAACCCAGAUGCCCUUCAAUAGAUGAAUGGAUAAAAAAAAAUGUGGCAUUUAUACACAAUGGAGUAUUAUACAGCACUAAAAAAUGACAAAAUCAUGGAAUUUGCAGGGAAAUGGAUGGCACUAGAGCAGAUUAUGCUUAGUGAAGCUAGCCAAUCCCUAAAAAACAAAUACCAAAGGUCUUCUUUGAUAUAAUGAGAGCAACUAAGAACAAAGCAGGGAGGAAGAGCACGAAGAAAAGAUUAACAUUAAACAGAUACAUGAGGUGGGAGGGAAAGGGAGAGAAAAGGGAAAUUGCAUGGUAAUGGAGGGAGACCCACAUGGUUAUACAACAUUACAUAUAAGAGGUUGUGAGGGGAAGGGGAAAAUAAACAAGGAGAGAAAUGAAUUACAGUAGAUGGGGUAGAGAGAGAAGAUGGGAGGGGAGGGGAGGGGAAAUAAUACAGGAUAGGAAAGGUAGCAGAAUACAACAGUUACUAAUAGGGCAUUAUGUAAAAAUGUGGAUGUGUAACCGAUGUGAUUCUGCAAUCUGUAUUUGGGGUAAAAUUGGGAGUUCAAAACCCACUUGAAUCAAAUGUAUGAAAUAUGAUAUGUCAAGAGCUUUGUAAUGUUUUGAACAACCAAUAAAAAAAAAAAACUUAAAAAAAAAUCAGAACACUUAAGUUAGAGAUGGCCUGAAUUUAGGCAAGAGUUGGGACAUGCAUUUAUACUCAUGCAUAGGUAGUGACUGUUCAGAGAUGAAGCAAGACAUCUUCCUUUGGUCAUGAAAAAUUACUGAGGAGGAUUCAGCUUUGAGAAGCCUAUAGGAAAUGCUUAGGAAACUGGAAAGUCAGUCUUGGGUACUGAAGAUAUAUCUGGGUAGCCUACCAGAAUAUCCAAUUUUAGCACUCACUAACGGUUUAACUGCACAUGAACCUCCAGUUCAGAUAUUUUUUUUCUAGGAUAAUUGGAUCUAUUGUUAAUUAGAGGUUUAAUUUUAUUUUCUCUUUUUUUUUUCUUUUUUCUUCUCCCUUUCCCUCUCUGUUCCUUUUUUUAAAAAAAAUAACUUUUUGUUUUUAUUUUCUUCUAUUUGUCUGCCCCUUGGAAUAUCUUCAUUUUUUCCUUUUAUCAGCUUUGUUUUCUUCAUUUACUUUUAGUUAUUUUUAUUAAUUUUUACUGCUGGCUUUCCUCAUAUCAAGACCUCCUCCAUUCACUAUAUUUAAUAAUGUAGGUUUCCUCUGUCAUUAUUUAAGUGGCUCUUUUUAUUUAUUUAUUUUUUUAUUUAUUUAAGUGGCUCUUUUUAAUGGUGAGUUUCUCUUUGUCACAUGAAAACUGGCUAUAGACCAUGUCUACUUGAACAGAACAUGUUAAAAUGGCACAUUUUAUCUAAAGAGGAGUUGAACAAUAGGAAUAUAACUCAAGCCACACGUUCAAGUUAAAAUUUUCUGAUAGCCACAUUAUAUUUCCAUAUAUAAACAUAUAUGCACAUAGGUAUAGACAUAUAUCUGUAUAUAUGAAUACAUGUAUAUGUAAAAUUGCAUUUCAUAAUGUAAUCAAUUUACUAAACUGUUAAUGAGAUGUUUUAUAUUAUCAUUUUCAUUUUAAAUUUUCAAAAUCAAAUGUAUAUUUCACAUUAGCAGGAUAUCUCAAUUCAUAUUACUCAACAGAAACUCAAUAGCUACAUGUUAUUAAGGGCCACUAUAUUUAACAGAAUAGAUCUGAUGCCAGGAUGCAGGCCUGUCAAAACACCAAAUGAUGUUGCUUUAGUCUUGGGUACCAGAAGGUUUAGCUCUAUUUGGAUAAUUUUAAAUUUGUUUAGAAAAUAUUUGGCAGACUUUUACUGUUGGGAUGCCUGCUUGUUUAUAAGUGGGAACCACUAAAGCUAUUUCUCAUGUAGACUUUUAAUUCAUCAUCUCAUUUCAGGUUCAUAUCUCCUUGCUUCAUUCUGUACCUGCUGAUUCAAUCAUCUUGAAGCAUGGAUGUUAACAUCCUUUCUUAGGAUUAUUAUAUUAUUACAUUUCUAACUUUUUUACUUUAAACCUUAUCCUUUCCAGAACCAAUAAUAAAGACUGGGCAAACAUCACUGUUUGAAAUCAUAAAUCUGGUAAUUUAUCACCCUGAUUAAAAUGUUCACAAAUAUUUGUAUUGGCCAUAUAAUAGAUUACAAAUGCUGUCUGUGACUUACAUUGGUCACCAUCCAACAGAGACAUAAAAAGUGAAAGGAUGGUGGAAUGAGAUGGACAUUAUUACCCUGUAUACAUGUAUGAUUUCCCUACCAGUGUAACUCUGCACCAUGUACAGCCAAAGGAAUGAGAAAUUGUGCUCCAUUUGUGUACAAUGGGUAAAAAUGCAUUCUACUCCCAUGUACCACUAAUUUAAACAAAUAAAAAAAAAAAGAAAUGCAAAGAAAAGCCACAAAUUAUAAAUCGAGCAAUAACAGAGGAUUUAAAGUAAUUAUAACAGUUAUGAAAAUUAAAAUUCCAUUGGUGGAAAUAAUAAUGAUGAUGAAAAGAACUUGUUAAAUAUCUUAUAUACCAAUAGAUAUCUUUUCUAUCACUGUUUUGUUCUUGAAUAUAUAGCUAUUACAUUUUAUAGAUUAAAUCAUCUGAGAAACAGAUAUACUAAAUAACUUUCCUGAAGUCAGAGAAUCAGAAAGCAGAUAAGAAUUCUGGUAUAUUUAAUCUUCUCUCACAUGUUCCUAAUUCAAUAGCACGUUAGUCGGCUUUCCAUUAUUACACCAAAAUAACUUAAAAAGAGCAGUGAUUUAUUUUGGUUAAAAAUUUUGGUUUUAGUCCACGUUCAAUUGGUCUCAUUGCUUUUGGACUACAGUAGGGGCAGCACAUCAUGGAAAGCAUGAAUGAUGGAAGACACUGCUCACCUCAUGGUGGCUGGAAAACAGAGAUAGGAAGGGACAGAAGUCAUAUCCCAUCAGAGGCACUGCCAGCAAUGACUGAAUUUCCUCCCAUUAGGACCACUUCCUAAAGUUUCUAGCAUCUCCACCAUGAGCAAGACCAAACUUUAACACAUGGGUUUUUGGGAGACACUUUUUCAAGCCAUAGAAAAUGUUUUGACACCAAAUACUGCCACAGGCUUCAUGAAAACAAGAUGUUUUUAUUGUGAUUGGAAAUAUAUAUAUAUAUAUAUAUAUAUAUAUAUAUAUAUAUAUAUAUAUAUAUAUAUAUAUAUUUUAAGUUUUUUCGUGUUUUGGAAUUUGACAAUUUGACAUGUUCAAUUUCCUACCCAUUUCAUUUGAAGGACUCAUAUAAUCUAAUUUAGAAUUAAAUGGUUAUAAGAAGAUUAUCAAGCAUAUAAUCAUAACAGUGGUGCUAGCUCUCCCAGAUUCUUCUUCUAUUUAGUUUAGUCCUCAGCAAAAUAACAACAAAUAUAUAUGUGGGUGAAUCCAUGGUUUCAUUAAUCUGUUCAACUAAUGCUAUGCAGCAUCUACUAUAACCCCACAAGAACAAUAUGCAGAUUUAUUAAUUGAUCCUUGUUAUUUCAGAUCUCCAGGUUAAUAAGAGAGAGAACAUGUUAAAAGGUAAUUACAGCACAAUGUGACACAAAGGAACUAUACAAUUUUAACUGAUGAAAGUAGUUAGAGUUAUUAAAAAGAUGUGGAAAAGACAUUGUUGAGAUAUGAACAAGAUAUGACAUCGUUGAGCUGAAUAGUAAAUAAUACAUAUGUUCCAGCCAUAUAUGAUGGAAAAAGUAUUCCAGAGAUAGUAAACAACAUGCACAAAGAAUGAUUGCAUCAAGCAGCCUGGUGUUAGUUAAUUAAACUGAUGCAACACACAGACAAUAUAAAGAGAGAGGACUUAUGUUAACAUUCAUUCUUUUUGCUUUUAUUUAAUUCAUAUUAAUGUAUAAUUCACAUACCACAAAAUUAAAGACUUAAAAGUGAAAAAAUCAGAGGCAAUUAGUGUAUCACCUCUAUCUGACUCUAAAACAUGUCAAUCAUGAUAAAAUAAAACCCUGUAUUCUCUAAGCCAUUACUUCUCAUUUCUUACUCUGCCUAGUCCCCAAAAACUACCCCUCUGCUUUCUACUUCUACGGAUUUACCUAUCUGGACAUGUCAUAAAAAUAAAAUCAUACAAUUUAUGACAUUUUGAUGUAUAGCUUCUUUUACUUAGCAUGAUGAUUUUGAGGUUAGUUCACAUUAUAACAUAUAUCUGUAUUUUCUUUCUUUUUAUGGCUUAGUAAUAUCUAUUGUACACACAUACUACGAUUUUUCUAUUGAUGGUCAUCAAUGUGUACAACUUAUUCAAGUAUUAGUUCUCAUACCAGUCUUCAAGUACUUUGAUUGUAUACCUAGAAGUGAAAUUUUGGGGUCAUUCUGUUUUACCUUCUGAGGAAUCACUAACCAUUUUCUACAGUGACUGAAACAUUUUCAGUUACCAGUUGGGAUUCUCUUUGCUCAUACAUAGUAGAACACUUUAACAAAAAUGUUUAAAUAGAGAAAUUUAUUGUUCCUUCAUAAAAAUAUAGAGGCAGGUUGGGGAUUAUAUGACAUUCUGCUUUGUUUAGCAAGCCAGUCUUAUUAUUUUCAGAUGUAAACAGACUAUUUUCCACAGCUGCCUAUAUCUGUAAAUUAAAUUUUACUGAUGUCCAGCUAUUCCCAUUCAUUUAUAUACUCUCUAUUGUGGUUUAGGCAUUAUAUGGCAGAGUUGAGCAGAUGACACAGACACUUUAGCCUGCAAAACCAAAAUACUUAUUCUUGGCCUUGUUACAGAAAAAGUUUGCUAAAUUCUUUCUUUCUCUCUUGGCCUGUCAUCUUGGGCUUCCUACUAAUGGGCCUAGAUGGCUUUUUAACCUCUAGUCAUCAUGUUCUCCAUCCAACCAUCAGGAAUAAGGAAGAACAGAGAGAGGGCACUUUGCUUUCUUUAAAAUACUUCUCCAAGGAAUCUCAAUUACUUUUGAUCCUGCUAUUAUUUCCACAUCCAUGACUAGCUGUAAGAGCAUAUUGGAAAUUUAGGUGGGUAGGAGCCCUUCUAAAAACUGGAUUCUCUUCAGAAGGGAAAAGGAGAAAAGGCAUGUUCUGAAAGACUAGAUAGCUCUAGCACAGAGUCAGUAUCUUAGUAGAAAAGACCAUUAGCCUAGAUAUAGCCCUGAGCCUCAAUCUUUUGCUUUUUAUUAAAUUUAUUUAUUUAUUUAUUCUAAUUAGGUGUAUAUGACAUCUGAAUACAUUUUGAUUCAUUAUAUACAAAUGCAGCAAAAUUUUUUAUUUCUCUGGCCGUACAUGAUGUAGCGUCCUACCAUAUGUGCAGUCAUACAUGUACCUAGGUUAAUGAUGUCCAUCGCAUUCCACUUUCUUUCUUGCCCCCAUACCUCCUCCCUCCCCUUUGCCCAAAGUUUCUUCAUUCUUCCCAUGCCCAGCCCCAUUAGGGCCAGGGAUAUAGCUCAGAGAUUGCCUCGCAUGCAUGAGGCUCUGGGUCCCAUCCCCAACACCACACACACACACACACACACACACACACACACACACACACAGAGAUCAACCAUAGCAAUAGUUAAAAAUACAAAUAACAUUUCUCACUUCUAAUCCUUGACAAUCAAAACCCCUAGACAUGGCUCAGGAAAAUGAGUCUCAGUCUUCCUGAGAACUGUAGAAUCUGGAUAGGCAGAACUCUUCAGGACCAGGCAAAGACUAUAAGAACCAAUUAGAGUUCUUCUUUCUCACUUCAAAUAUCUCACAGCAAUUAGAAAUAUGUAGAUCAGUAAAAAAUCUCUAUCUUCCUUUAUAAACAGAGUGAUUUCUAAGUUCACUAGGUCUCAUUUUCUGCUUAAUUUAAAAGACUGAUUAAAGUUUUACCUCUCAUAAUUGAGAUCAAUGUAGCAUAAUCUCUUGUUCUAAUUGGAUUUCCAAGGGUUUGCAUUUGGAAAGGAAUUGAAAUUCAGGCAAGUUAUCAAUGGCACACUUUUCAGAUUGUGACAACCAAUAGAUACUAUUUUUCUGAAUGGGAAACACUUUAAAUGUUGUUUCUACAUGAGUUUUAGCCAAAAUAGCCAUAGAAGAAAUAAGAAUGAGAAAAUUAAACAUAUGUUUUAAUUUGGGACUAGACACAGGAGUGUCAGAGUAGAAUGUAUGUAUACUUGCAUAAGGCACUAAAUAAAUUUAAGAGAAAAUGUGUAGUAUUUCUUUCACUUAUUUUUUUUAAUUUGCCUACAAAAAGUGAAAUAAAUAUGAGAUUGUUUUUCUGUGAAUUUUCAAAAAUCUGAGUAUAAAAUAAUGGGAUAAAUUAAUUAAGCAUGCAUUUUAUAUUUACAAAGUCCAUCACUAGGUUACAAAAAAAGAGUAAAGAAUAUUAUAUUUCAAAUAAAUAGGCCCAGAAGCUUAUUGAUUUAUUCACAUCAAUGUCAUUCUGUUUCCAAACUGUGCUCAUAUUUGAGCAGAACAAAUGGGAACUUUUUAUAAGAUUGCAAAACUCCAAUGUUUAGUUUUCUUUGCUUUUUAGGCUUUUUAUUUUUUAAUUUUUUUCUGAUACCAGGGAUUGAACCCAGGGUCACUUAACUACUGAGUCAUAUACCCAGCCCCUUUUUGUAUUUUCAUUUAGAGACAGGGUCUCACUAAGUUGCUGAGGGCCUCAUUAAGUUACUAAGGCUGGCUUUGAACUUGCUAUCUUCCUGCCUCAGCUUCCCAAACUGCUGGAAUUACAGGCUUGUACCACUACACCUGGCUGCUUUUCAAUUUUUAAUCUGUUUGAUGUAACUAUCACUCUGGUUGUAUAGUUCUUUGUUUUGAAAGAUGCAUGGAUCAUAUGACUUCUGCUACAAUCAAGACACAGAACUCUUCCAUCACCCCCAAAAUGAUCUUGUUAUGUCACUUUGAAUUCAUUCCUUGUAGUUUCCAGGGUAGGUAGCCUGUGAGUUUUUCUUAUUAAAUUUAGCAUAAUUCAUUUAAGAUUCACCCAUAUUAACACACAUAAUAAUAAUCUUUUUCUUUUUACUGCUGAGUAGUAUUUACUCAUAUGGAUAAAAAUUCAUUUGUAUAUCCAUCCCCAAUUGAAGGGCUUUUCAGUUGUUUUCACUUUUAUCAGUUAUGUAUAAAGACUGUCUACACAUGUACAGAUUUUCACUUGGACAUACAUUUUUAUUUCUUUGGGAUCAGUAGUUAAAAUAUAUUGUUGGAUCAUUAGGGUAAAAAUAUUAUUAAUUUGAUAGUAAAUUGCCAAACAGCUAGAGUGCCAUUUGCUUUUGUACUAGCAAUUUAUGAAUGUCCCAGUUACUUCACUUCCUCCCCAGUUCUUGGUAAUGUCAGGAUUUAGAUUCUCCUUUCCUGCUCUCCCCUAACUUCCUUUCCUCUGUCUUCUCUUCCACUCUCAGGUUUCACUAUUGUAAAUCCUUUUAAUUGGCUCUGGCACGCCUUUGAAAUACAUGUAUCAAGAUGCUUUCUAAAUAACUUCCUUACUUUCUGGCACUUUAAUAUGUUUCAGCCUUAUUUUAUAUACUUCCUGUCCCAAUUCUAGAUUCUUGCCCAUUUUUAAUUGGUCUUUUUAUUUUCCUGUUUUUGAGUUUUAACAGUGCUUUUUUUUUCUUUGAUAAUGUCUUUAACAGAGAAAGAAUUUUAAUUUUGAUGUAUCCUUUGCUCAUGGGUCAUGCCAUCGGUAUUCUAAGAACUCCUUGCUCACUCAAUAUCAAAAAUAUUUUCUAAUUUUUUUUUUUUUUGCAAAAACAUUAGGAUAGUAAUUCUACAUACUUAGGUAUAUGAUUUACCAAGAUAUUUUUAAAUUUCUAUAUUGUAAGGUGUAGAUCAACAUUUGUUUUGUAUACAUGAAUAUUCAAUCAUUCCAGCAUCAUUUCCUUAGUAGAUUUUUCCCCAUUGAAUCAUAUUUAUUUAUAACCUUUUCAAAAAUUAGCCAUAUGUGUUUGAGUCUAUUUCAAAGUUCUCUAUUUUGUACCAUUGAUCAGUGUGUUUUAUUUUUCAUCUUUAUCACUACACUGUCUUAAAUACUGCAGUAAGUAUUGAAGGUAUUUGUGUGAGUGUUCUAGGUUUUAUUUCUUUUUUAAAUUCAAAAUGUAUUGGCUACUCUAAUUUCUUGUCUUUAUUUGUAAAUCUUACAAUCAGUUUUUCAAUAUCAUUAAAUAUCCUUCUAGGAUUAUGAUUUGGAAUAUGUUUAAUUUAUAGAUAAUUCCAUGGAAUUUGACAUUUUUUUACAAAAUUUUCUUCCCAUCCAUGAAACUAGUAUAUAUUUUUCUCAAACUUAUUUGUUUAUUUCCAUUUCUUUUACUUUUUAACCUGAAGGCUCGUUGCUUGGAAUCAGUCCAGCACUAGCUUUCAUUCUUAUUAGUACUGUAGAAUUAGGUGCUAGAAUAGCCCCUUGAUAAUCCUCAUUGCUGAUAUUGUCCAUGUAGUAAUUAUCUGCUUUUUUAAUUUUAUGAACAUAUUUUUGCAUUCCAUGUCUCCUAAGUGUUACAUACUAUUUUUGGAAGUUUUUUUUUUUUUUGCCUUCUCGGUCAAUGUUUAAUAGGGAGACUUGUCCAAAAACUUCCUUUAAGAAGUCUACAGGUAUUGGACGUAUUUAUUUUUUUCAGUAUUUCAUAGGCAAAAUCUAUAUGUCACAAAUAAUGAACACUGAAUAAAAGCUUGAGGACUAGAUGUGUCUCUAAGGUUCAGUAUUUUAUCAUUGAUAUGUAUGGCUCAUUUACAGGUAUACUCCUCCAACUGCUUUUCAUGGGUUGUAGGUUUUUAUGAUGAUGAUAGAGGGUGGUGAAGAAUAAUAAAACAGGGAAGUAUUUUACAAUGUCAUUGGAGUCUAAACUUUUGGCAAAAAGAAAUUAACUCACUUGAGUUAGAUAUCAGACAUGCAUUGCUUUCAAAGCCAGUUAUUGUAGGGCUGGGAGUCUUAUAAACAUUAUUAUACCAUCUGAGAUUUUUGUACAAAGAUAUCUUUUAUAUGUUAUCUUAAAACCUCAGUGAGGUAAGCUAUAAAUGAAGGGGGACAAGUAGUUGUAAUGAUAGCUACUAGUAAAGCCCAGAAUCUUCUGACAUCAAAGAAAUCAAUUUCUAACACAAUUCUGUGUGAGUGAGGAUAUGAAUCGUGGAUAUGUUAAUGUUCUUUCCCAUAGUCACACAAAAAACAUAAAGCUAGAUCUUAUCUUUCCAUCUUCUUUCACCAUAAUAAAAUAUUUCUUGUAUUUUUAUUUAAAAAAUAAAUAGUCUUGAAGAUUCAAGAUCCACAAUGAUCAUGAAAGACAUAUAGAACAAACUAGACAUCUACUCAUUUAUGUAGCAGUGUCUCACACAGUUCUAAUAUUUAACUGAACUUCUGGUAUGUAUCAGGCACAGUUUGGGGCCCUGGAAGAGCUAAUGAGCAGACAGAAUUUCCUGCUGUUAUAUGGCAUGAAAUCUGAUUAGAAAAACUGAGCACAAAUGCAGUAAUUAAUUAAGCAUCUACUGUAUCAGAUAAAGAUAAAUGCUAUGGAAAUAGAGAAGGAAAAUGUGGAGGGGAGAUAGUAAGUUUUAGAGAUUAUAUUUUUAGAAUUAGGUGGCCAAUAGAAGGUUUUGCUAAGAAGGUGAUAUUUGAAUAAAUUACUGAGAAGAUAAAGGAGUAAGCAGUUUGGAAGUGUAGAGAAAAGAAUUUGUAGACUGAGGGAGAAGCCAGCAGACAUGUGUGUGGUCCCCAUAUACCUAUGUUGUUGAAGGACUAACAAGAAGGUUCUUUGUGCUCAAAUAAAGGGAGUGAGAAUGAGCACAGUGAGGAAGAGUUGGAGGAAGUGUCAUAGGUGAAUAGGGGGUGGUGAACUCAUUUAUAUGACUUUUUUUGGGCAUUGUAAGGAGUUUGUGUUUCUCUGCGAAUUAAUAGAGAAGAUAGAUCUGAGCAAAAAGCAGACUCGGUUCUUAAAUUGAUUCUUAAAUUUUUGGCUAAAAGUCAAGUGGGGGAAAGAAACUUUGAUCAAAUAAUCGUGAAAAUGAAUAUAAAAGCAAAAGUGAUAGAGGCUAAAAUGAUAACCACUCAAGUGGAUCAGGGUUAAUUAUCAAAUAAAAACUGAUAUUUGAUCUUGGAUAUGAGAGAUCAGUAGAUGUUGACUUGCUAAACAAUAUAAUGUUAAUAGUGAUGUUUUAUUGAGUGUUGCCUUCUAAGCAGCUGUGUUUUCAGCACUUACCACUGAUGAGCUCAUUUUAUCUUCACAGUAAUGCAAUAAGUGACACAUGGUUUUUAUAUUUUGUAGGUGAGGAAGCUGAGGAACACAGAGAUCAAGUAAUUUGCUCAUUUACUAUUUAGUAAACAAGAAAAAAAGGGAUAGGAAACCAAGAAAACCUAUCACAGCAAUGCUACUGAUCUUACAUGGAAAAAAAAAAAAAACAACAAAACCCUCCUGGAUCUUGACCUAUGAAAUUCCCUUACCACUCUUGUCUAUUGGCUCUAGCUGUCAUAUUUCAAUGCUUGCCUCUAAUUCACUCUGUAUCCUUUUCUCACCUUUCCCGCCAUUGUAGAUGAUUUUUAUGAAAUUCUGAAGAAAGGAUGAUCAUUCAGUGACCUCUAUUUGGUAAAUAAUUGCUCAUUAUUAUGUGGCAUCUUUUCCAAUUGAGAAGAGUUUUCAAUAAAUUGUUUAUGUAAUUUCAUGUUUUUUGAACUUUAAUUUUGGAAAUUGAUUAUAAGUCCAUAGAGGUUUGAGCAAAGUAAAAUGCAAAUGAGAUGAUUGCUUAUUUAUGCCUCAUAUAUUAUUGGGCACAAAGUCCUGCAAUAAUAUACACCAGACAUAGAACAAAACAGAAAGGGAUCCAGGAGUAAGAAGAAAUCUCUCAAAAAUCACUAGUGAUUUACACUUUUUUUACAAAUCUAUUGACUGUUAAGCCUAGGUUAAUACCCAAUAAAUCUAUUAUUUAUUAACACUGUUUUAUAGUAUUCAAAGUAGCAUAGGAGACAGCUAAACAGUAAGUAGAUAACUGAGUACCAAACAAGCAUGAAACUCCAAUAGAUGUUUGGGUGCAAGAACAACCUGAGAUCUAAGACAAGAGGUGAAAUAUUUAGUGCAAAAUGGAAGACGAACACAAAACAAUUAAAAGAGAAAAUGCCAGCCAAGUUGCUUUCUGCCAUUACCCCUUCAGUUCUCUGUGGUGCUUGUGAGGCAGAGCUUUCCUAUGGACAGGUUAUCCAUAACACCUGGAAAAUGUGAACUGCACAGGACAAAAGGAUAAUUUCUGUCCUUUUUGGCUCUUAGAUUACUAGCCAAUUGGAUGUUAUUAAGUCUCACAGGAGAGUUCACUGCUUCUGCCCUGGGCCUGCUCUCAGCUUCACUAGGACUCUAUCUAAUGCAUCCCUUCUUUGGGGUAAAAAUUUCCUGUUGUUUAAAAUGAAUGAAUUGAACCUAACUGUUUCUGAUACUCUGUACUUUAUGUCCUUCCCUGUCUUAUGUACAAGUAGAAUUCUGUGCAGAAGUUGAAUUUUUCUUUUUCCUUCCUCUUGAAGAAGUGUACAUUUACUUGUGCCCAUCUGUGAUGCAGCACUGCUCUAUGGCAAGUUCUGCUACAGUCAAAUGUGCUGCAUGGAAGCUGGCUAUUUCUGAGGUUUAGUGUUAAGAUGUUAUAAUCCCAAAUACAACACACUUCAAGUAACGCAUCAAUAAUACAGGGAUUAUUUCACUCUCCUAAGAGUUUAUAAUUCUUGGCCUGACAAUUUCUUUUGUCAAUGUUGAGAUUUUAAUUCAUCUGAAGUUGAUUUGGUUUUCAAAUUGAUAAGAUAUAGACGUUUUAUUUGAAUCAUUUCCUUUCUUGAAAAUAAAAUAAUGGUAUUUCUAAGAGUUGGUGGAAUCUUUGGUCUGGUGGAAUAUAAUAACAUAUUAACAAUUGGCUUUGAAAUGUGGUAUCUAGUAGUGCAAAUAUUUGUCCCUUCUAAUGCUAUGUUCUGGGAUUAAUAAGAAUAUGCUGUUUCCAAGAAUGGCAAGUACUCAUUUGGAGCCUGGCUACAUUUGAAAAUGAAUUUCACAGUCCAGCCAAGUUUGCCAUGUUUUCUACCAAAGGAUAAUUAAAUGGCUUCACUUUUAAGAUUGUUUUUGCAUUGCUUCUGGAUGAAAACUGCCCCUGCAUACCACUCAUCCCCAUGUUUUUAAUUCAUAAAAAUGCCAUUUGUACAAAUAGAGCAAAGGCCCAAGGGCUUCUAAAUGAGGCUGUUAAUAGGACUUGUCAAUUAACUUCAGUGCAUUGAAUGAAAUAUAUUAUGUGCUUAAUGAUCUUUAAUGCUCUCAGCUCAAUCAUAACAAAGAAUCCAACAUGUAGAUUUGUAGCAGCUGGUGGUCUCCAUUUGUCUCUUCUUUUGAAAGUAGAACGUUCAUUUAAUAAAAGCUGCUGAAACAAUGGUCUUCAUGCCCUGUGUGUAUUCCUGAAGUUUCUGAAAAGAAACAAACACGUGGCAGAUAACAUUUUUCAAGGUUUUAGUACAUAUUUGGUGGAAAGCAGAGAAUAGGUUAGGUUCCAGCAAGUGAUGGGAGAGAGUAACAUGACGUGAUGUUGGGAGUUUGUGGCUUUAGCAUUGGUUUCUGUGGCAACUGACUUUCCUAUAGUUACAGCAGAAUGUGAGCAAUAUAGGAAAACACCUAUAGGAAAGAUACCUGCACAUAGACUUAAAAACUGUCAACUAUGAUUGUGCCAAAUAUUAGAGGGCUAACAUAGAGUGAGGGAAACAACAGAAUAUUAUAUAAGAAACAAAUAUGAGAGAUAUAAAAUUCCCUGAAAUAGACUAAAAGAUGGUUGUGCAGUUAGUAUGAAAAAGAUAGAGUUACUCUUUAGAGAGUCCUCAGCUAAUUUCUUAUUUACUUGUAAACCAAAAUUUAGAUCUUUCCUUUUAGAAUACACUAGUAUAAGUGUCACAUGUCUAAUGCAGUUAAAUGUCAAAAGUAAAAAAUAAAAAUAAAACAUCUGUUGUAUAGGGCACAUACAUGAUCCUCAAAUAUAGGAGGCCUUUGUCAAUAUUAAAAAGAUUUAUCAACUGAGUUGUAUAAGAUAUUGUGUGGCAAUUUCUAGCGGGGCUUCUAGUUCAGGAUAAUAAAUGAGUAGCUAUUUCUCUCCUUUACUUCAAAAUUACCUCUGAAAGAAAAAAAUAAAAGAUAAGUCAUUCAUAUAUGUGCCAAUAAUGGGAAGUGAGAACAUCAGUGGAUUAUAGAUUUGACAAGUUUCUGGAAGAUGGAGAGUGGAUUGAAUCAUGGUAGGCAAUUUGGAAUGACCACAGUCCAGUCUGGCUGCUGAAGGCUGUUGUACAAGUAAGAACUGGCAAAGCCACCAGGUAACCACAGACCAGAAUUCACAGCUUGACAGAUUAUGAGUAGUAGUGAUGACAAAGGCUAAGAAAUUAAAGAAAUGUCUAUCUGGAAAGAUUUCUUCCAAAAUAUGAUGAAUAUUACAGCAAAUACACUUCCUGCAAAAAAAAAAAAAAAAAAGGAGGAGGAGGAGGAGGGAAUAAACUGCUUAGAGAAAUGCUGGUGCCAUAGGAAAGUUUUCCUUAUUUUGCUUUUAGAGUAAGAAGUGGGAGAAUUGAAGAGGCCAAACCUGUGUUUUCUACACUCAAACAACCUAUCCUGAAACCUGGCAAUGUGAUAGACCCAAUCCGCAAUUGACAGAAAUUAUACUGCUCAGAUAAAGAUGGCUGACAAAUGAACUAGGACUUCUCAGAUGACAAAGAAGACUAUCUUCCUGCUCCUAAUUCAUACAUAUGGAUAGGCAGACAUGUUAGGGCAUUACAUUGUUAGAGUAACAGAAUACAUACAUCCCUUUUAAAAACAACAUUGGAUUUUGACAAUUACUAAAUAAAUAACAACAAUGAAAAAGAGAAACAUAUUCCGUUUUGUGUAAGACUAGGAAAUAUAAUGAAUUACAAUGUAUGAAGAUUAGAAUAUAGGAUGGAGUGGAAUCUAGCAUAAAAACUUGAAAUAAAUGAAAACAGAACAGAACUCCUCAGAAGGAAAUAGGAAUAAAUAUUCCAAUUCAAGCAACAUGCAACUGCAAAGCUUCAGGUGGAGAAUAUCAGGUGCUUCAUGUAUGAAGAUGUGAGGAAAAAAAAAAGAAUAGCGUUACCUUAGACUAAGUGGAGAGAAGUGAUUGGAGAGGAGGGGAGGGGAUGNUUGAGAGGUAGAUGUUUUGGUAAGUGAUUUAGAUAUUUCUCAAAAAUGGGAUCAAUGCCUUUAAAGUAGACUGAAGCAUGUUUGGUGUGCUGCUUCUGCCACGUGAAGGCACAAAAGCAAGGUGUCAUGUCUGAAACUUUUAUUAGACACCAAAUCUACUGGGGCUCUGAUGUUGGACCUCCUAGAUGCCAGAAACAAAAGCAAUUAGUUUCUCUUAUUUACAAAUCAUCUAGUCUAAAUUAUCUUGUUAUAGCAGCCUGAAUAGACUAAGACCAAAAAAAUGAAGCUGUAGGGAAAAAACCUUAUUUUAUUUUAUUUGCCCUAAACCUCAGCCUAAAGCCCAGAUGCACGUCAUCUGAGGUCAUGAGAUGUACUGUGGCAACUGGCCCUACAUCACUGCCUGACAAAAUCUGAGGCUAACUCCUUUUGUAGCAGGAAAAUAUCAUAAAGAACUUCAAAUUAAUUAUUUGAUUUAUUUCAACUCAGAUCAGUUAUCUAUUACAAAUCCAUAAUUAUGUUCUCUUUGAGGACUGUGACAAUACUACCUAAAAUUACAACACUUUCCCCCAGAUUUGCUUUAUUUUUCUACUUAGGCCUUGCUGAUAGCACAUAAAUCACUUUCAUUUUUAGAUUGUUUCCUGUCUCUCUCACUACAGUGUACACACUGGGAAAGCAGGGGUGGUUUGUUUGUUACUGUAUCCCCCAAAUCUAGGUCAGUGCCUGGCCUGGAAUUAUUUGACAAAUAAAAAAUAUCCAUUGCCAUUCAUAUGAUAUGCCAUUCAUGUGGUUACAGGACUUGAGAGAAAUACAUCAACAGUCUAACAGUGAUUACAUCUUAGUGGGAGACUGUAAUUUUGUUUCCAGAGUUUUUUUUUUUUUUUAAUUUCCAUGUAUUCUACCAUUGCCACAUAUUAUUUCUGAAAGUGUCUUAUAAAUAUAUUAUUUUGUUGAAAGCCACUAAAAUAGAAAUUAUAAAGUUUAUUCCCCCUUACAAUUUCAAUGUUCAAACUCAGAAAUAAAUUACAAAAAAUUACAUGUGAUCUUUUAGUACAGUCAUGCUGGUAUAAUCACAUAAUCUCCUGUGUUCUCCAUUUUGACACACUAUAAGCUGGCCAGGUUAUAUGACUGUGGUGAUGGCACAGAGCCAGGUUAGCCAGACUGCGAAUUACUCCCUCCAGCCUGUUCAUACAGUCCAGGAUUCUAUUAUGUUGCACAAUGCCUCAAAAAUACAGACACUGUUAAGACAGAAAGAGGCUUUGUUCCUGACAUCUAUUUCAUGGGCUCCUACGUGUUCUAACAUCCAAUGUCCAUUUUUCUCCAUAGGCAUUGAGCAUUGUAAAAUAUUUAAUUUAAUUGAAAAUAAAACCUGUAAUUAAUAACCAGUGAUUAAUCAUAUUUAAUGUCUUACCAAUAGAUGGCUUCUGUAACUUCAUUGACUGGCUAUAAUUAUAGCAUACAAUAGAAGAACAUAAAGUUGGGAGUGGACCAAAACGUUGGAAUAGAGAAAUUCAAUUUCCUGUUUUCUCCAAGGCAUGAAAACAAGAAAGCAGACAGGCAGCUUCUCAGCAAGGGAAUUAGGAAUCCUGAUAUUCCCAUUAAUGGGCAAAUGCACAAGUUUCUUCUGAGUGUUAAGGAGACCACAUCCUGUCACUUGUGGAAUGUUAUCUCUUCCAGCAGUGGAAGAGAUAAGAAUGUGUUGCAAAGAGGUCUGGGCAGUGCCCCCAGUGUGGAAAAUAGUAGGAGCAAGAACCUUAGCCCUUGGAGCAAUGAUGGGGUAGAGAUGGCAGCAGUCAAGGAAUCCACAGAGCAGACUAAUACUAGCAGAUAGUAUUGAGAGAAGAAAUUCCCCACCUGAGGAGUCUGACCAGGCAGUAGCAUGGCCACAGGAGAGGGAGACACCAGUCAUGGCAGGAGAGGUGGAAUCUUCAGAAAAGUGCGUCUGGACAUGUAGAAUCUGUGGGUGAAUGUAGGAGACCAACCUUGCACGUGACUGAGUCACACUCCCUGGCUGGGUGCUGAGGUGCUCAGUGGCAGAAAUGUGGCAGAGCUUUCACCAGACUUCUUGGGUUCGAGGGUCAGUGUCUUCUGCAUGGGUGUGUCUUGCUACAGCCCCAUGGGUGAAGCUAUGCUCACCUGUUCCUUUGUAAUAUAACCCCUUUCCCUGUUUAGGAUAGAAUCUUCCAUGGAAGUGCCUUGUGUGUGUCCCCUGCUCUUACUGUGCCCUUGGGUGUGGCCUACCCAGGUGUCAGUCAACCUGCUGACAGUGGACAACAUGAAGAUGGACUCAGCCCCCUGAAACCUGACCCCUUGCCUCAUUUGAAUAGCUUCUCCUCAAUAAAAGAGGGUCAGCACGUGUUCUCGCUCUCUCUCUUUCUGCGAACCCUUAAGGUCAGAGGAGCCAUCACAGCGACCCCAAAGAAAAAGAUAUUUGUGUCUCUUGUGUGGUUAUUUUGUGCAGCCCAAUUACUCCAGUUUAACUGGAGUGACCCCUGAGACUUUUAGUCUCGAGAACAAAAACUCGGCCAGUGAAUGUCCCAAUUCUGCGGCUUCAGUGGGAGUUACUGGGGUGAAGGUUUGGUAUGAUGGUCUCUCAGGUCUCACCUGUCAGGAUCAGAGGGACUGAACUGCAAUGGACAUUGGGGACCAGACAUGUAACAUCAGGUGUGCAGCUUUCAGAUUCCGUUUACCACUUUAUGGAACAAAUUUUGUGGGUCAUUGAAUUCAUGAUGGCAUCUUCACUUAAUUAUGAUGACCCAGUCACUGAGCCACCAUAGAAGACUCAGUAUCCUCCCCCUUGAGCUCCCUUGCUUCCCAAUACUGUAUCCACAAUCCACCUUCUCCCACAUCUGCUUUCUGAAGAGGAAGUUUCAUCGGUCAUUUCCACCAGGGAAAAGGAAUCGUACUGUACGUUCACUAUCCAGAACCUGCACUUUCUCUACCCUUUUGCUGAUGCAAGUAAGGAUGAGGAUCUGCUUCCUGCUGGCACAGAAGAUCAAAUCCAUUAAAAAAAAAAAAAAAAAACAGAAACUAGUGAAAGCAUUUAAGGAGAAAUUUACCUGCAAUGGUACUGGAAUUGAGAAUCCAGAAUAUAGAGAAGAAAUUCAGCUACUGGGUAAAUAGCACAAGAGCAGAGAUUGGACCGAUCAAGGAUGAUCAGCUGAAGGUUCAUGGGUUUUCAAUGUGUGUGGCUCACUGAAGCUUAAGUGAGGAUUUCCUUGCAAUGAGUACAAUUUCUCGUGUCCCUUGUCACAAGUUUAAAGCUCUCACAGCUUUUUUUAUGUAACCAUUUUGGAUCCACUAUAAACUUGGGACUAAUAUAACUCCUUCAUGCAAUAAACUGAAAAAAAUCUAUGCAGUCUAGUCUUGAAGUUUCUCAUUUAAACAGACAUCAGGCAAUAGGUGCCUUGCAGUGUCCACCCUGAAACAAAACAAUAAUAUGAUGUUUCAGCAAAACCCAGAGCCCCAAGAUCACAGGCAUCUGUUUCUGGCCAGAAGCUCCUUAGCUCUCCCUGAGCAGAGUCCCCUGCCCUAAGAGUGUCAUGACCUGAACAAUAAAGAGAGGAUGAGAUAAGGCAACAACAGCAGCUGUACCACUAGAGGGAAUUUUUGGUAAUAAAAAGAGCUCAUAGUGUCUCUAACCUGAUCAGGUGGGCAGAUUUCAGAGACUACCUUCCUUCUAGUGAGAUGAUGCAGCAUCUGGCUUUCCACCAAGGUCUUCUUUUGGACUAGACAUCUUCUAGCUAAGGGGUGUCCAAAACACCAGAAUGUGAAGCCAGCCGAAUAUUGAUACUGGCGUUGAGAAUCAGGUUUGAGUCCCGUUCCCCAAGGUGCUGAAGAUUGAACACCCAAGAAACACUGAGGCAAUGCAAAAUGUUUUAUUUAAAGGAGACAGAGAGAGGCAGACAGAAACUCCUCUACAGAGGAGGGCUUCCAAGUUGGUGCCUGAAGGAGUGUGGGUGUCCUGACUUUUUUAUGGAUUUCAGAUUUUCUUUGUUCUCAUGCCCCCCUCCUCCGGAUACAUUGCCUAUGUGACCAGUGACCAAAAUGUGGAGUGACCAGCGUCAGGAAGAGAGUCAUCCAGGGGUUAUUCAUUAACAACUUCAUGUAGGGAGGAACAAUUCGCUGGAGGCAGGUAACGGGGCAAAAGUUUGGAGGAGAGGGAAGUGCUCUGGAGGUAUUAGCAUUUUAUUUCCUCUUGAGUAUGUCCCAUCUUCCUGACACAAUCAUUCACUACCUACACUGUCCUUUGCCCCCCCAUCCUCAAUAUCAGUUAAUUUUUUUGAGGGAGGUACUGGGGAUUGAAACAAGGGCACUCAACCACUGAGCCACACCCCCAGCCCUAUGUUGUAUUUUAUUUAGAGACAGGGUCUCACUGAGUUGCUAAGUACCUCACCAUUGCUGAAGCUGGCUUUGAACUCAGGAUUCUCUUGUCUCAGCCUUCCUCCCAAACCGCUGGGAUUAGAGGCAUGUGCCAUCAUGCUUGGCAUCAGUUAAAUUUUUGAAAAGGGAACAAAUACAAGCUGUUGUUAUCAGUCCUGUAACUAGCUAUAGAGCUUGCAACUUACCUGCAACUCACUAGCUAACCAGUGCCAAGUGAAGUAAUAAAUUGGUUUAUGGUUUUCUUUUUAACUUCUAGUUUUAAUAUUACAUAAUGUAUUUAAAACCUGAUAUAAAUAAAACUUGUUUUCAGGGGAGAAAAACAAAGCUUUAUUGACUUGUACAGCUAGAUACAUUAUCUACAAUUUUUUUUUAAAUACGAGCAAUAUCUUCCAGAUUAAUGUUAAUGUUUUCAUGGGUACUUCCAUCUGUGAGGACAGCUCUUGAUUCUUAUUCUCCUCUCUGCCAUCCUGCAUAGGCUAUGAAAUUUAUGUUUCCCUUGAGUGAAAUGAGCUGUCUGAGAAAAAUGGCAAAAAAAUCACACAACACAGAAAUAAUUUUGAAAAGUGAGGGUGAGACAGUGUUGUGACCUUAGUGGUCCUGUUUCCACACUGGAAGAAGAGAGAGAGAUAGGAGCCUAGUUUGCUUUAUUUAUACAAGGGUCUUCAAAGGAUUUCAAUGGAAUGUUCUUUUGCCAAAUAAAGUAGGAGGGGGGCAGUCCAAGCCCAACAGGUAAUGCCCUAGUCCAAAGCUACAGAGCAAUCUCUCUAGUCCAGCGAAGACUGAGGUCAUCACGUGAUUUGCAUAAUAAGCCACAAAAUGACUUGCAAUGCCAAACCAAAAUCUCCUUGGCUCCAAGGCCCAGUAGAGGCUAUUCAAAUAGCCCAGAGGUGGCCCCCUACAGAAGGCCAUUUGGAAAUUAGAUGAAGUAAACUUCUCAGUCCAAUUUAUAGAAUACUGUCAUUUAGGCUUCUGACCACCACCCUUUCAUUACUCUUCCACAUCACAUACUGGCAAAGUCUAGAAGAUGACACAAGGAGUGGAAAGUGUUUCCAUAAGAAAAUGCCUAUUGCAUCUGGGGUCUAGUGAUCCUCCAAGAAAAGGUCAGCUCCCAUCUGUUUGAUCAUUCUACAUUUAAGCUUAUCAGUCAGAAAAACCGUAGCCUUCUAAUCACUCUCAAAUGUAUUUAUACAAAGUGAACCUAAAGGAAAGAAAGAUGGAAGAGAGUAAGGGAGGGAGCAGAAGAAGAAGAAAGGAAAGAAAGAAUAAAAGCAAAGUCUCUCCAAGUCAUUUAAGGCAUUUUGACAAAGCUCCUAACAUGAAAGUUGUAGAACAAAGCAAAUUCCAAAAACACAAAUAUAUCACAGACUAGAUGAAUAUGUCAACAGUGUGUUUUAAUUUACAUGCACAAAAUAUAUUUCAUUGAUGAAAAUAAUAGGGUGCUAUUAAAAAUCAAAAAAAAAUGUAUUAAAAUGAGCAAAGUAUUGAAAAAGAACUAUUAUAGGGCUGGGGAUGUGGCUCAAGCGGUAGCGCACUCGCCUGGCAUGCGUGCGGCCCGGGUUCCAUCCUCACACCACAUACAAACAAAGAUGUUGUGUCCGCCGAUAACUGAAAAAUAAAUAUUAAAAUUCUCUCUCUCUCUCUCUCUCUCUCUCUCUCUCUCUCUCUAAAAAAAAGAAAACAAAAGAAAAAGAACUAUUAUAAAAAGUAAACAGAAUGAGGUAAGAAAAAGUCAAUAUAUUUCAGUAGGCAAUCAAAAAAGAUGAGAUUGAUUUUAUGUGAGGAAAAAGUGUAAAAAAAAAUUUAAUUAAAAUAAAAGGCAAAUCAGACAAAGGGGCACAACCUACCAGUAAGCAUCCUAGUAAAAUCAAGGAAAACAAAGGAAAGGAAGAAAGAAAUAAUAGAAAAUUUUCUGGAACUGAAGAACUUCAGGUAUAAACUGAAAGAGCCAUAGUGUUCCUGUUGCUUAUUCCCACGAAUGAAAUAAACCCAUCAUUAGUAUUAGCAAAGUAAUGGGUAAAAAUCUAAUUUGCUAGAGGAAAUAAUACUUAAUAAGAUUCAAAACUCAUUAUCUAAAGUAUAUAUUAACAUGUUAAUGUAUAAAAUCUUUUUUUAUUGUUGUUUUAUUUUGUGUUUUGGUACUAGGGAUUGAACUCAGGGGUACUCGAACACUGAGCCGUAUCCCCAGCCCUAUUUUGUAUUGUAAUUAGAGACAGGGUCUCAUUAAGUUGCUUAGCACCACACUUUGGCUGAGGCUGGCUUUGAACUUGUCAUCCUCCUAACUCAGCUUCCUGAGCCACUGGAAUUACAGGUGUGCACCAUUGUGUCAGGCCCUUAUGUAUAAAAAUCUUAAUUUUAUGGAGGAAGAAAGAAUAUUCUGCAAGAUUUAAAACUGAAUAUAAAAAAUUCAACACUUAUUUAAAAAAAAAAACUUGAAUUAAACUAAGAAUGGGAGGAAAUGUCUCUAAUCUACUAAAAACAAUUUAAAUAUUACCCCAUUCUAAAAGUGACCUUUUAUGAUAAAAAAAACAAAAUAUAGUUAGAAAUAACUUUGUCAUUAUAUUUAAUUUGCAAUUCUAUUAGGCAAUGUUAAAAAAAUUAAAAACUGGAAAAAUUGUGAACAUAAAAUAUUAUAUCUUGUAAAUUAAAUAUUAUGGUUAUUUGUAUAGAAGGCACAUGAUAAUACAGAACAAACAAUAGCUAUAGAAUUCAGAAAUAUAGUGGAAACAUUUUAACAAGUAAAACUUUUUAGUAAUUUUUAAAUACUUUUAUGUACUUGUAGUUUAAGAAUUAUAAUUACUCAAGACUGAGCAAAUAUAAAUUUGCAAUGACCUUAUGGUGAAAAUGUCAAAGUGCUAUUAAAGGGCUUGGAAGAAAAGUCAUAUAAUUAUGAGAUAUAUCCACAUAUAUACAAAGUCUUGCUAUUAUAGUGAUGUGAUUUGCCCAAAAGUAAACCUAAAAAAUUCAGUGUUAUUUCAAUCACAGAGCUAAUUAGACUAGAAAUCUAAUUCUUAAAGUAAUUUGAAAAAAUUAAUGACAAAUCCAAAGUGAACAAAUAUUUAGGAAAAUGGGAACUUAUAGAUACUGUUGAUAGUUUCAGUUGGUAUAGUUACUUUGCAGAAGAGGUUUGUAAGAUCAAGUCAAUUUUCAGAUGAACAUAAGUAUCACCUGAGAUUACAACAUAGCUUUUUAGAUGCUUAAGAAGUCUAUGAUCUAAUUACAAAAUUGUUUAUAAUAACAAACGGCUGAUCAAUAUAAAUAUCCAUCAGCAGAAGAAUAUAUAUAUAUAUAUAUAUAUAUAUAUAUAUAUAUAUAUAUAUAUAUAUAUAUAUAUAUAUAAUCUAUUAUGGUAUAUUCAUAAGGUAUAAACCAGAGAGCAACUCAACUAAAUAAAAAAGAGAAAUAUAUCAUAUGGGAAUGAGUAGGCAAGAUCCAGAAUGAUAUAUAAUGCAUGAUAGAUUUAAUGGCAUGCAAAACAACAAUAAAUACUGUUUAUAGAUAUGUACAAAUGUAACAUGCUGUGAAAACAUUUAAUGCAAAGACCCAUAUCAUUUCUAUAAUGGUGGUUAUCUCUAGGAGAAAAAGUACAUUGGGACGGAAAGGAAUAUAAAAUGUUUUUUAUCAGUCACGUUUGACUUCAAAAUAGUUUGGAAAGAAUUUGUUAAACAUAAGAAUUGAUUAUGUAUGUUUAUUAUAAUACUCUAUUAUUUUCUGAACAUGAGAAACUUUUAAUUAAAAUUUAUCAAAAUAUAUACUUGAGUUAUUAUUUUCCUAGUUUCUACUUUAAACUAUUUAAAACACAUUGCUCUUUUGGUUGCAUUAAAGUCCUUUUGUAAAUUAGGCUUUAUACAAAAAGUAGCUAAACAUUACCAGAUGGGGAGGAGUUGAACAUUAGGUAUAUAAUGACAGCAAUUAAAGAGAGAGGUUUAAGAUAUUUUAUAGGUAGUGCAUUCUCUGUAAUGCAAGGAAAAAAAUAGUAGACAGAUGUCUCAUUAGCUAAUGCACCUCGUAUAUUUUUCUUCUGUAAUUUUUUGACAGCAUCACCCAGCAUCCCAAAUAAGCAUAAGAAUGAGUUUGGUUGUGAAAUGAAACAAAAUAUAGAGGGUUUGCUAUGGCUAUCUUUCAAUCUGGACAGAUGACAUUCAUUCACUGGAAAAUAUAUUGGGCUUGGUUAAAAUUGCAUGGUGAUUUAAAUAGGCUUGGCAUGUCUCCAGGGCCACUGGAGGGUUGUCUUCAGCUUUUGAGACUGAAUUUCCUGGAGGUGUUCCUUGGACUGGUGUGACUUAGUUUAUCUCUAUUCAUAACAUUAUCAUUUUUUUUACAUAAUCCCAUGUAUAUCAAUAACUUUCUAAUUAGAAUAUAACAGCAGCUAUUUAGUUUCAAAUCUCCAGGAAAGUGUCACCUUGUCAGGGAUUUUUAAUGUGCAUUGAUAACUAAGAAAAUGGAUGUUCUGAGGCCAUAUAACAUGAAGGAGAUGAAUUUAUUGCUGUUAGUGAGGACUUUGACAUCAAGAAAUAGUUUUCUGCUUAUAGUCUAUAUACUUCUCAGGCUCUAUAGUGCUGAGUUGAUCUUGUUGCCCUUGCCUAUUCUGAACUUUCAGAGAUAUAAAUCGUCUCUAUUUUAGAUUCAUAAGUUUUAUACUGUUUCUUUUCAUCAGGGAUAUUGGAGUUGAAAUUAGUUUCAUUAGAAUUUCUCCAACAGUGCUUGAUGAAAAGCAUUAUCACUCUUUCCAUAUUAUUAGUGUAUUCAAAAUGAAACAUUUUGAGGAAUUGAAAUGAAUGAUGGAUGUAUAUACAGUAUUGGUUAAAACAGUUGCUGGAAAUGGCCUUGCCACAUGCCUGAGAAACAGGAAAAUCCAGUACCUUUGAUCAUAUGUUAAAUGCACACAUACAGUAAGUAAAUAAGAGAUAAAUAAGUAACUGUGACUUUAAAAGUAGUGAUAAAGUUUGGUUAUUUUCAUUAGCCAAUGAGUCCAUCAAGCAGGAAUACUUGAAAUCUGGUAUAUUAAAUUACUAUGUCUAAAUUUUUGAGAAAGUAAAGUGAUAUUUGCAACUCAAAUGUGUAUGGAAAGCAAUAGUAAUGGAAAAAGCAUGAACCUUACAGUUAGGAAAAUUAUGGUGACUUUUUGGCUUAGGUGUCACUAUUCUAUUUCUGUUGAGUUUUGUCCACUGUUAAUUGUACGAUGAUAUUUUAGUGAUUGUCAUGAGGAUUUCAUUGUCUGAUCUACAUUCAAUUAUCUCUAAUUUUGUCAGGCACAUAGUAGGGGACUCACAACUAUUUUUGAAACAAUGGUAUUCAUAUACACAAACAUUCAUGAAUGCAUGAAUAAGUAAAAAGGGUAUGGUCUUGCACAAAAGUGGUUAAUAAGUAUUUGUUACACUUCUAUUCCUUCUGCCUUCAGAAUAGUUGUGAUCAUUAAACACGUGAAUAUAUAUAUAUAUAUAUAUAUAUAUAUAUAUAUAUAUAUAUAUAAAGAGCUACUGAAAAAAAGUGUCAGCUUUCUUUCAACAUCGUUGCACACACGCCCACAUAAACAUGUCUUUAUCUAGCAGUCUGUAAAUGCAUACUUGCUUCUAAAUUAUUGUACAACAAAAUACUUAACCACUUAGCAUGGCAAAGACAAAUGUGUAGUAGGUUAACAGCAAGUUGAAUAUGUGGUUAUUAUUUAAUGUAUCUAAAAUUAAACUAUUCAUUAUACUUCCCAUCCACUCUGAGUCCCAGAGUAUGUCCAAUGUAUGAGAUAUAAUUCAGCAUUCAAUUCUAGACGCUUAUAAAAUUCUUUUGUCUAGGUACAUCUGCCACCUCCAACUUUCUGAUACAUUACAGUUCUCUGAUAGUAGAGCUAUAACUUCUCUUAUGCCAUAGCACAAAGCUAAAUAUGUCUAUCAAAUUACAUUAGUUAGGAUGAUGUGAAUUAAUAUUCCCUGGUAUGUCCUUUCUUAUUAUCAAGUGAACAAUACUUUUACCUGUUAUUGUUACUAUCAUCAUGCAAAUAUUCAGGGAAAUCAAAAUAACCUAGCUAUUUAUAAAAGACAUACCUGAAACAAAAAUAGUAUCAAAAACUUGGAAAAAAAAGAUAUAAUUCACUAUGCAAAAAAUAACAAAAUACAGUGGAAAAGCUAUGAAUAUGACAUAAAAUAAAAGUUUAAAAGAAUUUAGUGAAAUGAACAAAAAUUUUUGAUUGAUAAAAGAUAAAUUCUGCUGGGUACAGUGGCACAUUUCUGUAAUCCCAGCAGGUCCCAAAGCUGAGGAAGGAGGAUUGUGAGUUCAAGACCAACAUCAGCAACAGUGAGGCACUAAGCAACUCAGUGAGACCCUGUCUCUAAAUAAAUACCAAAUAGGGCUGGAGAUGUGGCCUAGUGAUCAAGUGCCCCUGAGUUCAAUCCCUGGUACCCUAACCACUGCCCCCUCCAAAAAGAAGAUAAACUCCACUGGAGAGGUAUAUCAGUUAAGAACUUUUAAGAACUUAAGAAAUGCAAAGAAAAUAUAUAUGAUCACAGAAAUUUCCUCAGAAAAUAAAAGAACAAGAUAAGAAAUACAAUCAUCCUGUUUCUAUACAGAUGCAUAGGUACAUUUAGAUAUGAAUCUUGUAUGUAUUUGGGUAAGAUCAGACUCAUUUCUCUGAAACUUCAAGUAGUACUGAUGGACCAAAAAGUUUCAAAAUACAAAUGUAAUUAGGUUAGAGUCAGUGGUUCAGAAAGACAUAAUGAUCUUCAGCUUCCUUCUGGGGUUCACAGGCUUCACUUCUUGCUACUCAUGCUUAACCUUCUGUUGUGGCUAGGGACAUGAGAUAAAGCCUGUGUGAGUAGACCAAGCUUACCUGGUCACACAGGUUAGAGACCCUGACCAUUCAGCUGCUGGCAGACCAGGCCCAUUAUGUGUGGUUUCCAUGACUGCAUAAUGGUUAGUAAUCACUCAUUCUCAUCAUGUAACUGAUAAAAAUAACAUCAGAUGAGUUAGGGUAUAGAUUAUAGCAAAGCCUAUAGAUAACAUAAAGUAUAGGAUAUGCCUUUUAUUCUUAAGUGUGGGAUUUUAUGAAGAAGCUUGGGAUUCCCAAGUAUCACAUGCCCAGCAGGAUACCAAAGAUUUGCUACCUUAAAUUUAUAUGCUCACAGAUAUCUGAACAGAAAAGAUAAACAAAAUAAAAUAUGUAAGGUACAACUAUGUCCCACAUACCAUUGAAGAUAUCUUUUAUGGUAUAGCUGGAUAUAUGAGUGUUAGACACUGCUAACAUUUUUGGAGAAGGCACAGUAAAACUGCAUCCAUUCAUUGCUGAAGGCCAAUGGAGAUUAACAUCUUUAAAAAGAUGCUCUACACUUUUGAAUAAUUUGAUGUGUUAAAGUUUAAUAAUGUAUCACAGCUGGAGGCCACAGUGGUUUUUUUUCAUUGAUUUAAUAAACUUUGUUAAAAAUAAUUUAAAUGAAAAUCAAUUAUUUUGACAGAAUAUUAAAACAUGUUAGGAAGUACAGUAAAGAUAUUAAAUUAAUUAGACCUUUCAUUCUGCAAAUCUCUAAAAUUAGUGAGAUAAACAAAUUUUUAAAAAUCUUAAAUAUGAAAUGAAGAAACAUUUCAGAGUGUAGUACUUUCUUUCGGCUAACUUAAAAGACAGUAACCAAGAAACUGUUGUAAUUAUGAUUGCCCAUUAAUAUAGGCCUUGAGAUACGAACAUUCUUUGUGAAGAAUAUGGGCUUUGAGACUGCCAACAUUACUUCUGUGAAAGGGAAAAAACCCUGGGAAUUAUGUUUUUGUAUGAUCCUGGAUUUUUUGAUCUCAUGUAUAUGAUUUGCAUCCUUGCUAGAAAAACAACAAAAUAAAACAAACAAACAAACAAACAAACAAAAAAGAGAAAAUAAUGAGAAGGAAAAAAAACCCUCAAGUUCAUAUUACCACUGUUGCUGGAUUCUCAUCCCUAGAACCUCUGUGGUCUUCUGAUGCUCAGCAAGUGUCCAUAAGUGUGUACUUACGGGUAUUUGAAUUCAACAGAAUAGUCCAUUUAUAAGAAAACACCCACAUGCAUGACCCACUGUACAUAUGCACACUCACAAAUACACAUGACACCCCAAUAACUGCCCAAACACAGGAUUUAUUUGAUAUAAUCUCUUUAAAAAACUCAAUAAAGGGGGCUGGGCAUGUGGCUCAAGCAGUAGCGCGCUCGCCUGGCAUGCGUGCGGCCCUGGUUCGAUCCUCAGCACCACAUACAAACAAAGAUGUUGUGUCCACCGAAAACUAAAAAAUAAAUAUUAAAAAAUUCUCUCUCUCUCUCUCUCAAAAAAAAAAAACUCAAUAAAGCCAAAAUUGAAUUUAACAGGUUGUAAUAAAGCUAAUCACACUAGGAUAAGUAAUACUGUGAUUUUAAAAAUACUAGCAACAAAAGUAGAAUAUUUGAAGAGAAAGUAGAAAGAAAACCCUCAGAAUUCCAACCUAAAGGAUCUAGCCAAAAAGAAACAAUCUGGAGAAUUUAUAGUCUUGAAAAUAUCCUUUAGGGAAUUCGACACUGCCCAUCCCCAUUCCACCCUCAAAAGGUGACUAGAGGUAAACAUAGUUGUGUGUGUGUGUGUGUGUGUGUGUAAGGAGAGAGAGGGAUAAUCAUCCCUCACUAUCCAUGGGAGAUCAUUCCAUAACCUCUUCUGGAUACCAAAAGUCACAGAUGCUUUAGUCUCUUAUAUAAAAUGACACAGUAUUUGCAUAUAACCUGUAAAUAUUCUCCUGUAUUAUUUAUCAUACCUAAUACAAUGUAAAUGAUAUGUUGUUGUAUUUAAUCAUUAGUGAAUAUAGUUACAUAGUAGUUAUAUUGCUUUGGGAAUAAAGACAGGGAAGUUUAUAUGUUCAGUAUAGAUGUGGCUGUUUUCCUUAAUGUAUUGGUUUUGUAGGUAUAGAACUCAGAUAUGGAGGGCAGACUGUAUAUGAAAACCACAGUAGAAUUAAAGAAUUAAGACAGAAGCAGAAAAUAAGACUUUCUUAAAGUUAUGCUAUGAAUUGAACACAUUUUGUAAACUUUUCAUUCCACUGUAAACAUUAAAACAUUGUAUACUGAAUGUUUUAAAUUAAAAAAAAAAGGUUUAAAAUGCAAGAAAAAAUGAAUUUCCAGGGAUUAAAGUAAAAAAAAAAUCACCACGUUAAACUAUGAUUGGAACCUGAAGCUACAUAAAAUAAGAAGUGAACAUAGCAGCCUGGUUCUUAACAUAUGUGUACAAUAUGGGAAGCCUGUGUAUUGCAGCCUGUGUAUUGCAAGAGGUAAAAUUGGAUCCACUGAAGAAAGUUUGCAAUUGCCUAUUCAUGGAUAGAACUAAAAUAAUUUUAGAUCUUAUCAUCUCCCAUAUCCACUCCCACUCCUGCUCAAACUAUAAACCAAGUUAAAAGAAAAGCCACAGAUUGGAAAAUUGUUAUGAUUAUUGUAAUUGUAAUAUUAUCAUUGUAUGGGUUAUAAAAAGAUACUUAUAAUCAAUGAAAAUAAGGGGAAAGCGAUUAAAAAAUAGUAGUUCAAGAAUAUAAAUAAAACAUUCACAGAAGAGGAAAUCCGGCUGUGUUUCUAUUUACCUUCUCAGGUUCAGGGAAUUGGAAAUUGCUGAAUAAUGACAUGCCAUUUCCAGCUAUCAUACUUUUAAAUUGGCUAUAUAAUCUUUUAGUUUUAACUAGGAUGUGAGGAAGUAAACAUUCUCAUGACACGCUAGGAGCUGUGUAUAUAGAUGACUUUUGCUGUAUACAACUUAUUAACGAACUUUCAAAAGCUACAUGAAAUAAACGUAUUUUAGAAAAUGACAAAUUAAUUCAAGAUUCAGAGAACAGACUAAUAGAUCAACUAUGUUACAGGAAAUUGAAAAUAAGCAUAAGAAUGCUGCAAAAAUGUAGUAGGCUUACAAAAGUUCAGAAUCAUUUUUUGAUUAAACAUUCCAGUAUAGAAUAUUUGUUCAAUAUGUCAUAUUAACUAUUCAUAAUGCACUUAUUUCCCCAUAGGAUAUAUAAGGUCAGCUAUGAUACAAAAAUUAGAGAAAUAAUACACAAAACUUAUAAAACAAUAUUAUUUAUGGAAAUCCAAAUAUCCCAAAUACAGUUUUUAAUUUAAAUUUCAAUAUAUUAUAAUAAAUAAUCAUAAACAGGAGAUUAUCCUAGUGAUAAAAUGGUAUUUCAAUAUUUUAUUGUAUUAUAAACUGUUAUAUUAAAAGAAUAAAACAUACUGUAAAUAUCUCAGUAGUUGAAAAGCUAUAUAAUAUAGUUCAACACUUAACUUUUUUAGAACCUCAUGAUAUGCUAAUAAAAUCAGUAAAAAUGGCUAAAUAUUUUCACAUAUAUAGCUAGAUACAUAUAUAAAAUAAAUAUGCAUCUAUCAUCUAUCUAUAUAUAAUUUCAGCCAAAUUUAUUGUAAAAGAUCAGACAGUAAAAUAAUUUUAGCUGUGUUUCAUAUUCAAAUUUGCUCAAUAUUGCUGUAUAAAAGUACUUAUGGAUGAUAUGUAAAUAAGUGAUGAUGGCAGAGUUCCAAGGAAACCUUACUUAUUUAUAAUAACCAGCAACUGGGAAUUUAGUUCAUGGGUCCUAGUUUGCUAAAUUCUACCAUAGAAACUCUGUUGAGACUUAAACUCAUGCAUGAACAAUUAGAAAUAUUGCCACAAAAUUUAGGAACAAUAUAUAGAAACACAUUUUCUUAAUCCAUUUUAGUUGCUAUACGAAAACACUCUAAUUUAGGUCAGUUAUAAACAACAGAAAUUUUGUUUCUCCCAGUUCUGGAAGCCAGGAAAUCUUAGAUCAAGGUAAAUUUGUUGUUUGAGAGGGCUCUUUACUCGUGACAGCUACUUUCUUACUUUAACUUUCCUUGGCAGAAGAGCAGAAGGAUUUUUCUUGAAUCUCUCUGGUAAGGGGAAACUAAUUCUACUCCAUGUGGCUCUGUCUUCGUGAUCUAAUCGUUAAUUAAACCAUCCAGUAUAGAAUAUUUAUUUAAUAUGUCAUAUUAACUAUUCAUAAUGCAUUUAUUUCCCCAUAGGACAUAUAAGGUCACUCCUAAUAUAAUCAACAAGAGGUCAAGAAUUUCAGCAUAUGAAUAUGGGAGUGACAUAAUCCCAAAGAGCACAACCCCAAUGACCUACUUCCUCCAGCUAUCCCUCAUUUCCUACAGUUACCACCGAGUAAUCAUUCAAACUAUUAAGGAAGCAAAUGGAUGAAUGCAAUGAUUAUGUUUCAGCUCUCAUAAUCUAAUCAUUUCACCUCUGAACAUUUCUUCAUUAACAUGUGAGUUUUUACAGUUAUCACUUCAUAUCCAAACCAUAACAUAUCCUUAUAUCUAAGAUCAACUCUACCACUCUAUACUCGUUUCAUGUAUUAUCCCAGUUUUGUUCUAAAUAGUUGACAUCAAAGCAUUUUGGCCAACUCCAACACAACCCAGUGUUUGCUAUUUUCUCCAAUAAAAAUGUGUGUGUGUGUGUGUGUAUAUAUAUAUAUAUAUAUAUAUAUAUAUAUAUAUAUAUAUAUAUAUAUAUAUAUAUCUUAUAUUUUAAAUAUACUUUUCAUGUUUCUGUGAUAUUCUAGGUCUAAAUUCUGUUAUGCCAAUGUUGUUUCAAUUAGCUGUGACCAAAAUUUCUGACAGGAGCAGUGUAGAGGAGGAAAUAAUUAUUUUGGCUCUUGGUUUCAGAGUUUGAGUCCAUGGUCAACUGGCUCUAUAGCCCUGGGCCCAAGGUAAGUCAGAAUAUCAUGGCAGGAGGGUAUGACAGGGAAAAGCUGCUCAGGACAUGACAACCAGGAAGCAGAGAGCUUUGCUUACCAGGGACAAAAUAUAAACUGGAAUGACAUGACCCUAGUGACCUACUUCUUCCCAUCACAUCCUACCUGCCUACAAUUAAUGCCCAGUUAAUUCAUAUCAGUGAACCAAUCCAUUGAUUAAUCAAAGAUUUCAUCAUCUCAUCAUUUUAUAAUAUUCAUAAUAUUAUAUAUAAUAUAUGCAAUAUUAUAUGUAAUAUAUAAUUCAUAAUAUUAUAUAUAAUAUAUACAAUAUUAUGUGUAAUAUAUAAUUAUUAUAUGUAACAAAUAAUAUUGUAUAUAUUAUAUACAUAUUUUAAUAUUCAUAAUCUCUGAAUAUUCUUGUAUUUUCUCACACAUGAAAUUUUGGGGGGGAUACCUCAUAUUUAAACCAUAACAAAUGUAGAAUUCAAAACAAAACAUGUUAAAGACAUAUCAGCCUCAUAUCAUAUUCAGCCUCUAUUGUUUCUUGUUUCUAAAGGCAGAUGAUUAUAGUUUAGCUUCUACUAAUGAAAGAACACAUAUGGGAUGGAACUCAGAACUGAGUAAAAUGGAAAAAGAGAUUGGACCAAGAGUAGUCAUUUUUGUUGGCUUGUGUUUAUCAAAGACAGCUGAGUUCUAGAGUCAGCCACUAGGAAGACAAAUUCCUGAUUCUAUUACUUUAUGAUCAUGACAAAGGCAGUAUUGGUACUACAUCCCUACAUCAAAACAACAACAACAAAAAACAAACAAACAAACAAAAAACCGCAGCUUUGGCUUCCAGUUUUUUAUAGUUUCCUUCCUAAGCAUGGAAGAAAGUACAAAUCUGGAAACAAUAUUGAUGUAAGUAGUUUCCUCAAUCAGAUCUUCCAGUCAUAGAGAGAGCAGUGAAUCUUGCCUAAAGGAUCUUUCUUGGCAUGCCUUUUAUGUUCUUCAAACUCUUUAUGUUUCCCAAUAAAUCUCUUUCUGAUUAAAUUAUCUAUAGUGGAUUCUGUUAUUGGCAACUAUGAUUCCUAAUGGACCAAACUGCUGUGGGGUUGGUAACAUAGAGGCCAGAAACAAUGAGAUAAAAUACAUUGCAAAAGAAAUGGUUAUUAUUGUUACUAUUACUAUUAUUAUUAUGUAAAUUAUUUAUGAAUGCUUAAAGUUGUUUAUAAUUAUGUAACAUUCUGGGUUCAGUGAUAAAUUGUUUGCUUUGUUUUGUUAACACCCAUCCACACCUCAACAUGAGCCAGCAUUCCAAAAGGAUAUAAGAGGCUGACACUAGAACCACUAUUCUAGUUUUUACUGGGUGUUUGUAAAACUGAUUUUCUCACAUGACAUGUUCUCAAUUCUUUCUCAUGGGACUGUACUUUACCUAAUAAGGAAAAAUUGGUGAGGAGUAAGUAUAUAAAGUUUAUUCUUAGUUUCUGCCUGUAUUUCAUGCUCUAGUCAUUCAAAUACCCUUACCUACAGCAUUACUAUAGGCAAUUUAUCACUGAGCAUAGCCUCAGAGUGCUUAAAUCUGAGUCCUCUUGCUUUUCAUUUCAACAAAUGCUUAGCACAAAGGGUUCUUAUUUGUUGUUGGGAAAAUCUCUGUCUUUAACAGUCCAUUUGUUCUCUCAUUUUGCAGUAAUAGAAAACCAGCUGUGUAACUAAAAUGCAUGCAUGACAUAAUUCUCAUCAAAUGAUAUUAACUUACUCAGGUAAAAUAUUGAACAUACAAUAACUUGAAAAUAAUGUAUUAUCAGCCACCGGUUUGCUUCAGUUUUAUGUUUUGUAUACCUAGCCUAAAUUAACUUUUUUACAAAGGAAUAAGAAUUUUAAAAGCACUAGUAUGGUGUACAUUCCAUAAGAACAAGGACAGUGUGUUAACUCAUCUUUCAUCAAUGUGACAGAAACAACAACAACAAAAUAACAAGAACAACAUAGAGGAGUAAGUAACUUCUGAUAUCAGAAGUUCAGUCCAUAGAGAACUGACUCCUUUGCUCCAGGUUCAAGAUGAGGCAAGAGCAUUCUGGUAGAAGGAUAUGGUGAGAGGUGCUGCUCCAUUCAUUGCAUCAAGGAAGCUUCCUUCCAGGGCAUACCCUCAGUGAACAACCUCACCCAAUCACCUGCCUACUGUUAUCACUUAGUCCAUUCAAAUUAGGAUGGACUGAUUUGAUUACAGCUCUUGGAAUCCAAUCAUGUCUCCUCCAAACAUUUGUGUUAUAACACAGGGUUAUUUUAAGGGACACCACAUAUCCAAACCACAACAGAAAAGUUCUUAAACUCAUCUCCAAAGUAAAUUUAAGGAAAAGAGCAAAAAAUUGCCUGCAUUGUUCAGAACUAUCAGUCUUUUGUAUUUUUUUUAAAUCCCAUUUCUUAAAGCCAUGGGGGAAAGAAAGAAUAGAAAUGACUGAGCCCUAGAGAAGAGGGGAUAAACAGCUGAUAAACAUAACUUGUUUUUUCCUAGAAUAUUCUGAGUUUCACCCUCAUGGUUUCUGUCAAAGAUAAUAAUAACAAAAAUAACUAAAACAAAAACAAAGAAUGAAUUUGCUUUGAAUCAGUCUGCGUGGCCCAGACAUCUUUGAUGAGGAAGAAGAUUCAGAUUCUUCAUUAUAUUAAGCUAUAUAAUUUUUAAAAAUUUUUUAGUCUGAGUCUUUCUUUAAUUUAGCCUUCUGAUAAAAUAUAUUCAAACUUUUUAAUUAGUGUAGAAUAUUUAACUAGUUUAAAUUUAACAUUAUGUGACUAUUAAGUGGGAAUUAAAAAAAUAAAAUAAAGAGGAUUCCCUAGUUACCUUCACUCCCUUUCUCCACUCUUCUGGAGAAUUUCGGUACCCUAUAUUUGCAUUAUGCAACUGGUCUCCUUGUUUCAAUAAGUUCCCAACUCAAAAAUUAGUAAACUUUUUCUGUAAAGAAUCAUUUAGUGGAUAUUGUAGGCUUUUGUCUCUGUUGCAAAUACUUAACCGUAUUGUGCAAGCACAACCACAAACAAUAAUUAAACCAACAUAUCUGACUAUGGUACAAUAAAACUUUUUUUUAAUAUAAAAACAGGGAUUAGACUAGAUUUGGUGUAUAGACUUCUGUUUUCUGAUCUCUGCCCUUAAAUUAAUUAACCAAUCAAUCAAAAUAAUUUGUUUUAAAAAAGCACACCACCAGUUUGGUAACUAUAACAUUUAAAAUAUUCUUUGGAGAUGGAUAUAGUGGAUUUUUUAAUGUCAAGUAAAUGUUAUUUAACAAAGAAUAUCAAAGGACAUUAGAUUUGGGGUCCAGGGCAGAAAAGCAAGUAGUGGUUUCAACAUUUACAAAAAAAAUGUCCAGAAAAUCAAAAGCUUUUGCAUAGGAAAUAUGGUCAGGAGAAAACAGAAGGUUAUUUGCUCCUUCAGAGCAUUAUGUUCCAAACUUAUAGACAUUCAUCUUUCUCUUCUGCUUUCCUUCCAAAAUCCAUUUGAUGAACAGAUUUGUCUUCUGGUAUAAAGACUAUGGAUCAUUCGAAUUAAGUAACCUGAAAAAGGUGAACAUUGAAAAGUGUUCAAAUGAAUUGUACUUAGCACUUAGCUUGAAGGGGACUUUCAACAAACAAAUGUUUUGGUAUCUUUUUUUUCUUUGAAAGGUAAUUAUUUAUUAUGGUAGAAAUUACAUAAAAUACACAUUGAUUUAUUGUGCAUGUUUCAUGUUAAUUGAAUCUUCAAGUCGGAUAGCUGCUAUAACUUGAUACAUUUACUUCUUGGUAUUGUCUUGGCAAUGUAUGUAAUUUUUGAUUUCUUAUUGAGGAUAAUGCAUAUAAGUUUCAGAAAUAACCUCUAAGCACCAAGACAGAACUUUUGAUGUCCAUUUUGAUUGUAGUUAUUUUAGGCUUAAAACAGCCAAGAUCCCAUUCCACAUGAAAACAUACACUAACCCUCUGAGAGUUGUCAAAAGAAACAUUAAAUCCCCAUAUUCAUUGAUAAAGACAAUUUCAUUUUGUUGCUCCUUCUUUCCUCUCCAUUUCUUUCUUAAUAGUUUUAUUUCCAAGUAUUCAUGCUAGACAUACAAAAUGACAUUAAUGCACUUGUAAGAGUUUGGAAGAUGAUAGAGCAGAGCAUAUCAAAACUAUCCUAGAAUCUGUGUCAACAUUUAUUCUUUAUCUCGAAAUAAAGAAAUGAAGAUUAUUAAUUUGAAAUGAACAUGUAUUUCUAAUCAUUAAUAUAACAUGCUUAACAUAUAUACCCAUGUUUUAUAAUACACAUUUAUCCACUUAUAUUUAUUGUAUAGAUUGACAUUAGUAACUUCACUUAGUUUCUAUUAAAGAUGACCCUGUCUCAUAUGGAAUUGCCAAUAUAUCCUGAGCAAAGAGUCAAUAUUCCCUGAUGUGGAAUGCAUAAGACUAUAAAUGCUGUGGAAAAGUCUCAAUAUGUCUCAUUUUAUAUUAUGUGUUGUGAGUGAUUUUAUCUUAAAAUAGCAUGCUAAUUAAAAUAUCAACUUUUUUCCAAGCCACUAAAGAAUUAUCAUAGAAGCAGUAAAGAAAUUUCAAAAAGAAUAAAGAUCAUCAACUAUUGUUUAAAAAAACAAUCAUUUAUUAUUGUUUUAAAGAAACUACUUAAAAUGAUGUUUUAAAGGAACAAAUUUGUUUUGUGGAAUAUUUUUAUAAACACAAUUCCCAGUUGAAAAAGUGGCUUGAUUAGAAUAAAAAGUAAACAAGCAUUUCAACCACUGAAAGGGACUCUAAGUAGAUUUCAUUAUUACUACCUUGUUCCUAUUCCACUGUUUCCUUCCCUACUUCUGUAUUGAGAUGAGUUCUUGAAGUUCAUCUCCCAUCAUGCCACUACCUCUGUAAACAUUCCCUUCUUGAAAGAAUUGUGUUCAACACUUUGUGAUCAUAUUAUUUUUUUUCUCAUCUUUCAACAUUUUAUUAAAAGCAGAUACUCUUGCCACAUUAGACUACAUGAGCAUUUCUAUAUAGGCUUUGUCUAGAAAAUCAUGGACCUUUCUCUUCCCUUUCUCUAUCAAAUCUUUGCAUUGUCAAAUGCUAUCUUCUUUAUAAGUCAUUUUCUAUCCUCCCCAUUGAGAUUUUACCUUAUUCUUUUAUGUUCUCAUUUUUCAUAGUUGUCUUAUCUUUUAUGUGGUUUGAAAGAAACAACUAUUUUUUUUUCUUAUUUGUCAUUGUCCACAUAAGGGUUCUUUGAUGAGUUGAAUUUGUUUCUCCUACUCCAGGACCAUAAACUGUCUCUACUUGAUUUCUUUCUGAGCCCCAUCACUGAAUACCCUUUAGUAUGAAAAAUAAUUUUUCAAAAUUUUUGCAGCCAUUUUUAUGUUUAAUUAAAUCAUGCACUUCAGGAGGGCAAAACCCAUGAAUUAGUUUUUAUUCAAUCCUGGUGACACCUAAACCAGAGCUUACUAAGUUUAUGACAGUUAGUAGGUAUUUGUUAACUAAGCACAUAAGCAUUAUUUGUGAUUUAAUGCUAUGGUUUUGCUUAGUACUGGACCUAUACUCAAUAUAUUUUGUAUCAGAUUAUACUUUUCAAAGACAAUCGCAUAAUAUUUCUCUUCCAUUAACACUGUCUAUGUUAGGAAGUAAAUUGUCUGUACUCUCCUCUUGCACUUGAGUAGGCUCUUGGGUUGCUUAUAAAUAAUGCAAUGCUGUGGAAACAAUACAGAUAACUUCUGAAUCUUAGUUAUAAAAGACUCUGGGGCUUCUUGCUUUGUUUUCCAGAACAUUCUUACUUGGAGACCUGAGUAGCCAUAUAAGAAAUCUGACUACUGUGAAACUACCACCGUCUGAGGAAGCAAGGAGAGGAUACAUGUUGACUCUACAGUUUGAAAUCACAGUCUUCUGAGUUCAGGUGUCAGUCAUGUGAGUGUUAUAGUCUGAACAUGUUUGUUUCCUCAAAAAUUCAUGCUGAAACUUAAUGCAAUAGUAUUGGAAGGCAUUUCCUUUGGGAGGUGAUUAAGUCAUAAGAGCAGAGUCUUCAUGAAUAGGAUCAGGGGCUCUUAUGAAAGGCAUUGACAGAGGCCUUCUGUCUCAUCUACCACAUACAGAAACAUGAUCCUUCCCUCUAGAGAAUGAGGCAUCAAGGUGCCACAUUGGAAGCAGAAAGCACACACAUAAAUUAUCAGAAAAGCACCACUAAGGAUUCAUAUUGGAGUUGCAACUAGCAUUAUUCAAGGGUUUAUGGUAUAUUUUUAUCAUCCAACUAAAAUGAAGUAAAAAAGACUGGCAUUGCAGUCAAGUUCAUAUCAAUGCAUCGAAGGGAAAGAAUCAGCUAAUGUUAUACUUGCUUACUGACAUCAUUAAUUAGUGAUAUUCAUUUGAUCUAGGUGUAUAAAAAUAGUAGAUAGAAUUUAUUCUUGAAAUAAACCAUGGAGACUAAAAUUGAUAGUAGUACCUAAGAGAGAGGAAAGGUUAUAUUUUGGAGUUAGUUUCAUAGUACAAAUCUAUAUAUCACUGUGCCUUUUUAAUGCAUCCCUACAUUAAUCUUAGAUUUAAUGUGUGAAGUAUAUGGAACAAAGAGACCUUAAGGAUUGUAUCAGAGAAAAAGGAACUUGGCUUUGUUUUUACUAUUUUUGAGCACAUAUUGGUUUGACUAAUUCCCAAGAACUAUAUUUUAGUAAUACAUAUUGAGGGUCAAGUUUUAUUUAUUUAUAUAUUCAAAUUUGCAGGAAAUUCUCCACGAUUCCAAAGAGAAUGUCCUCUUUCUCCAUUUACUGUAGGAUUAUUUCAUUGCCUGGUACAUGUUUCUGUGGAAUUAAAGUAAUGUGAUUUGAGUUGGAAUAAAUUUGCCUCACUCAAAAAAAUAAUAAUAAGCACCAAACUUGUAGGUGCUUUUUAUUUGAUUCAUUUACUCAAGAAAACAAAAUUUUAUUUGUAAUUAUUGGUUUGAUUCUUUUGAGGAGAUGCCAAUACUCAUACUUACCUAAGACAAAUAUUUAUAAAUAAUUAUCGAAUUUUCCUCAUUUAGUCUGGUAAUAGGGUCAGAAUUCAUAAUGGAGUGAUUCAUUGAAUAUCUAUGAAAUUCUGAAAAUUGGUGUAUGACUUGAAAUGUUGUCAUUCUUGUUUACUGGUAUCAUUAAUUGAUAUUUAAUAGAGAUAACUAUAUACUUAUUUGGGAAUAAUUGAAAUCAAUAUCUAGAACUUGCUACUGGCUGAUUAUUUUUAAUCUGACAUGUAUAUAUAUGCAACUUCUAUAGAUUAGAUAAAUGUAUACAUUUAUUAAAAUUUUAAUAAAACAGUGCAUGCAAUUAAUUUUUGUACCUUAAGUAUGUUUGAAAUUCUUUUUUAAAAAAUUAUAUACAGGGGCCGGGGUUGUGGCUCAGAGGUAGAGCCCUUGCCUAGCAUGCAUGAGGCACUAGGUUUGAUCCUCAGCACCACGUAAAAAUAAAAUAAAGGUAUUGUGUCCAUCCGCAAUUAAAAAAUAAAAGUUUAAGAAAAUUAUAUAGAAUUUCUUUCCAGAGCAGUUGGAACAGAAACAUAUGAAAAACUUUCUUCUUCAUGCUUUCUUUAAUUUCUGCUCUAUAACAAUUUAAACCUAACCAUAGGUAGAUUACAUUAUAAUCAAAGUGCUUCAACAAAGAGCACAGACACUUACCCAGAAAAGGAUAUGGGUAGGAAUAUUUUAGGAUACGAUUAUGUUGUCCUAUAAAUGGAGGCAAAUUCUUAAAAAGAUUUUUUUUGUUUGAACUUCCAUAUAUCUGUGAUUAAGUUUUUUAUUGAUUCAAUUUAGUUAUGCAUGACAGUAGAAUUCAGUUUGACAUAAUUAUAAAAGCAUAGGAUAUAAUUUGUUCUAAUUCACUUCCCAGUACUUCCCCUUCAUCUCCCCUCCUCCCUCUCCCUUUUCCUGCCCCUCUGUUCUAUUAAUCUUUUUGCUCUCUACUUAUAGUUUCUUUUUAAUUAGUGUUUUAUAGGUGUGCAUGAUGGUGAGAUUCACUGUGGUAUAUUUAUUAGGUACAUAGGAAAAUUAGGUCAGAUUCAUUUCAUUGUCUUUCCCUUCCCUGCAUUUCCUUUUGCCUACUCCACGGAUCUUUCUUCUUUUUUUUUAAUAUUCAUUUUUUAGUUGUAGUUGGACACAAUACCUUUAUUUUUAUGUGGUGCUGAGGAUCAAACCCAGGGCCUCACACGUGUUAGACAAGUGUUCUACCACUGAGCCACAACCCCAGCCCUUUUCUUCUAUUCUUAAAAAGAAGAAUGACUUUAUGAUAUUUGCCAGUAAAUGAAUGGAACUGGAGACUAUCAUGCUAAGUGAAAUAAGCUAAUCCUCAAAAGUCAAAGAUCAAAUGUUUUCUCUGAAAUGCAGAAGCUAAUCCCAAAUAAAGAAUGGGGAAUAAAAAAAGAUUGAGAGAGAAUAGAAUAAAGAUCUAUGAUUAAGUUUUGAGGCACUGCUACUUUAGGAACAAAAAGCUUUCAAGCUUAAAUCAUUCUUAGUGUAAUGUUCUCCUAAAGACAAAUGGGAAUGUUUCUAGCUGAGAAGUUGAAAGGUGAGAAAAGGCUAAGCUAAAACUAUCCUCACAGUACAGUGUUUCACUUAAUGAUAAAUGGUACUGCUUCAACCUGAGAAGAUGAAAGAUUUUGCAUUUACUUUGAAGCACAGCAAAAGCCAAGUGCUCACUACUACUGAUUUCAGGUGUGUCUAAAUAAGUGGAGUAAAUGGUAGAGUACAAGCCAUUAUUACACUGAGAAAAAUGUCAUUACUUGUCUCUUUCUUCUGGAAAACACAUUUUGUGCUGCCAAGGAAAAUCUUGUUGUCCAUAGAAGAAAAUUCAAAAAAAAUUAAAUGCUUAAUCAAAUCAUCUUUUUAUUCUUUUUCAGAAGAAUAUUUUAGAAAAAAAAAGAUCAAAGCUCACCAAAAUUAUCAGUUUAUUACUUUCCAAAACCUUUUGUAAUUGAGUACUUGUAAUGUGAAGCAUCCAUCAAAGAAUUUCAAUUUAUUUUGCUUAAACAUGUCACAUCCAUAAAAAGAGAAAUUAUUUGCAUAGUUUGUUGAUCAGAUUUUGUGUACACAAAACAUCUUAAAAAUAGAAGAUGACUUGCUUUUAAGUGAAGAAAAGGGCAAGCAAGAAAGGAGAUAUGAGUCAGUAUUUGAAUAUAUGCAAGUGUCAGGAUGUCUAUCUCCCAGAUUUUCAUUCAAACAUUUCUCACAAAAGGAUUAUUUUUCAAUUUUCAUAAAGGAAUGGUCCACAUUUAUAUAUCUCCACUGGCUUAUGACCAGUGUUAUUAGAGAGUGAACAGAACAUUCAGUCAGUAUUAUCCUAGAAAUUAUAAUUCUUAAAAGAGUACUAUUCCACCAUCUACAAUGACAACACAACUGAGAUUGUAGAUAAACUAAAACUUAAAUAUCUAGAAAUGACUAGAAUAAUUAGUGCCCAUAAAACAUAUAAUAGCUCUCAAUUUCUUCUUAGAUAAACUAUAAAGUUGUUCUUAUUUAGCUAUAGAUCUUGCUCUAAUUAAAAAGAAAAUGCUCCUAACUUUCUCUUUCUAUUGGUUUAUUGACCUGACUUCCUACCAUAAUCUGUUCCCACAAUUAGACUUGUAAAAUCAACCAUUUUUCUUUGCCUACUAAGACUUUUCAGACUAGAAAUAAGGGGGAAAAGGACAAGGAAACACAUUAGCUUGGUGACCAAUUCCUGUCCAUUUCCAAUAUGAAAUAUUCCAGGAGAAACUGCCUUGGACACUCUGCUGAUGCCAUGUUCUGCCCUGUGUUAAAAAUGGCCAUCUGAAUCAGAUCUUGGCUUGCUGUGCCUUUUGAAUACAGUGCCAUGGACUGCUCAUGGAGACUGGUGAGUUCUGCCCAAAUGAAUCCCUAACAUUCCCAGUCCAUUCCCAAACCUUUGCACAUUCAAAGUAUUUCUUGACUCCUUUAGAAUAAAUUUUUAGUUUCUUCAUCAUUGUCAUGUGGGUGGAUACAGGUUGAUUAAAAUUAGACUGUGUUGCAUGUAGUUUAUAAAUCCCUGGCUAAUUAUUUUGUUUUCCUUUUUCUUUCUUCUAUUUUUUGAUGAUAAACUUUGACCAGGGAGGGUUGUAGGAUAAUAAUGGAAAAUGCUAAUUUUUAUUAGUUCUUAAAAAUACUAUUUAUUGUAUAAAAACCAUAAGUUGCUGGGGGUGUAACUCAGUGGUAGAACAUCUGCUUAGCAUUUUUGAGGCCCUGAGUUCAAUCUGCAGGACCAAAAUAAAUAAAUAAAUCAUAAGAGAGAAGAAUAUGCAUUGAAGCAUAUUCUUUACUCUUCCUGAUAUUUAUUUUGUCACUAUGCAAUUUAUCUGGCUAUAGUGAUCAGAUUUCUGUUAAAAGAAAUACAUUUAUCUAUAUGUAAGUCUAAUUGUGUGUAUACAAGCAUGCAUAAGUUGUGGUGAGCCAUUCUUAUAGACCGUGGCCGCCAUUAGAAGAUGGCGCCGGCUUCCACUGUGGCCUGUGAUAAACAACUCCUUUUUUGGAGAGUUGGCACGCAAUCCCUUACCACCCUAUGAGAGAGAUCCACGUGGCAGCUUGGGAUUGGUAUGCGGGAGGCUUUAUUAGGCUGUGUUUGGGCACUCGGUGGGGGGGUCACUAGAAGAUGAUACAUGAAUCAAGGCCUGAAUAAACUGCUGAAAGAAGAAUCCUGUGUCGUGUUUUCCCUUGCCGGCGAGGGGUCGCGACAAUAAGUGUGUGUAGAUAGAUAGAUAUGAAUCUGUAUUUAUUUUCUCUUUCUCACUGUGAUGUGUAGCCUAUCGGUUUAAUUCCCUUGGCAGUUGAAAGGGCUGCCUGAAGCUAUUCUUCAAUCCCAGCUGUAUUUUGGAAUUUUCUUGGCUAAGAAAGUUACCUAUCCCAAAGUCACAGUUUCUAAGAUACAUCAUAACUAAUGACUAUUCAAUGACAGAGCAUAAAAAUUACUUCCUCCCCCCAAAUAAUAAGAAUUCUGAAGGACUAUAUGAGUUUCUGGUUGCCUAUUGUUUCAGUGAGACGACGUUGUAGCCCAUCUUUUUUCUCUGAACUAUCUUAAUUCCUUCCUUCUGUCUCCAGGAUGCCAUUCUAAAAGUACUCCUGAUAAAUUUCUUUCAUGCUGAUCUUCAUCUCAGAGUCUACUUCCCAAAGCACUCAUGUUCUAAUACACUAUUCUAAAAAGUCAGUUUAAAAUACUUAAAUAGUAUUGUUAUUAAAGCCUGGAAUCUAGGGCUUUUUUAUUUUAAUAUUCAUGAAAGGUUCAGUUAGGAUAAUAGAAGCGUUACAGCUCCAUUUGUGCAAAANUCAAACUUACUCAUAAAUGAGUCAUUCCACUCAAUCAAUUAGAAUAAGAAGAGCAAGAGACUACAACUUAAAGUUUCAUUGGUAAAUUUCAAAGCUCAAUGAGUCUGAUGGAUAUAUAUCUGGAGAAAAGUCUAAUGAUUUCAUUUUUAUCUAUGCUUAAUCUUACAUCUAACAAAAGAAGGAUAAGGGAUAAAAAAUAUAACUGCAUGUGUUAUCUAUUAUCUGCACUCUAGUUAUAAUUAUUGGAAAAUUUGUCCCACAUGUCACUGGAAAUUGAGAUUCUAUUUUUGACAAAAGGCAUUCAAAUGGUUAUUUUCACACCAAACCCAAAAAUCACAUUUACAGAACACAUUUUAUUCCCUUAAAGCACCAUUGAUACUAAAGGCUCAGCAAACAAUCAAACUCUAUUUAAUUAUUCACCAUAAUGCUUUUUAGUAGAAAAUCAAGUUUUCUAGUUUUUAUUAGAUUUAUAUGGCUGGUUGUUAUCUUGUUAGAGCUUAGGCUUUCUUUAGAGAGGAAAUCAACAUAACUGGUGCUAUGAAAGCAAAAAUAAAGAUCUUUUGUUUCUGGAAAAACAAUAACUAUAAAAUCCAAUCAGAGUUUGUGAACUUUUGGAGCAAACUGCUUUGGGGGCUUAUUGAGGGUACCUCUUCACAAUUACAUCAUUCUGCCUUACUGUUUGUUCAUCUGAUUUUUUCCAUUCAAAUUACAACAUCCUUUACUUCUUGAAUGGUAUAAGCUUUUCUCUCUUGGUCUGCAGCAGGGGGAAUCCAGAAUAAGGAAAGAGCUGUUGGUUGAUUAAAAUUGACAUAAUAACAAUAACUAUCCUGCUUUGUACAUGAUCUUGAGUAUGCUUCUUUUUAAUAUAUAAAAACCAUAUGAUGAUGACACUUCUCUUUAUUCUUUUCAUUAUUUAUUCUUUUCCCAGUAUUUGUAACUGUAUUCUUAAAUGCUCAGACUUUUCUUUUUUAUAGAAUCUUCUUGACAGAUGCCAAAUUUAUUGCUAUGCACAAAAAAAGAGAUCCAUUGUGAAGUAUUAUAAGGUUAAAAAAAUCAGCUGAAUUGUAAAGAUAGAAAGUCAUACUCAAACUUUUAGACCACUUAGUGUGUGUUUCUGGAACUUGAGAGUGCAUAAGGAUCAAAAUAUUUUAUUAAAGACAGAACAGAGCUCCACCCACAGAAUUUCUAAUGGCAGCAUGAAGGUAGCUUAAAUUCAUUGGUGGGACUGUAACAGGGACCACUUUGGCAUUUAUACACAAUGGAAUAUUACUCAGCAUUAAAAAAGAACAAAUCAUGGCAUUUGCAGGUAAAUGGUGUUGGAGAAGAUAAUGCUAAGUGAACUCAGCCCAUCCCGAAAAAACAAAUUUCGAAUGUUUUCUCUGAUAUAACGGGGGUGACUCAUAGCGGGGUAGGGAGGGAGAGCAUGGGAGGAUUAGAUUAAUUCUAGAUAGGGAAGAGGGGUAAGAGAGAAAGGGAUGGGGAAGGAGGUUAGCAAGGAUGGUGGAAUGUGAUGGUCAUCAUUACACAAAGUAAAUGUAUGAAGACUUGAACUGGGUGUCAACAUACCUUAUAUACAAAUAGAGAUAUGAAGAAUUGUGUUAUAUAUGUGUGUUAAGAAUUGUAAUGCAAAAAAGUACAUGUAUAAUGACAUAAAUUGAUGUGAACAUACUUUAUAUACAGUUAUGAAAAAUUGUGUUCUAUAUGUGUAAUAAGGAUUGUAAUGCAUUCCACUGUUGUUGUGUAUUUAAAAAAUAAUAAAAUCAAUAAAAA